Molecule: long non-coding RNA, 57730 nt
Filed under: Brassica napus (rape)
Lineage: Eukaryota; Viridiplantae; Streptophyta; Magnoliopsida; Brassicales; Brassicaceae
Description: long non-coding RNA (BNAP_LNC021839)
Rfam family: MIR9563 microRNA precursor family (bases 41592-41716)
Source: RNAcentral
CAAGCUCAGCAAAGAGUAUUUCUCAGCUAUUUAGAAAUAUCUACAAAACCUUUGUUAUAUGUGAGCUGAGUGUUUUUUUUUCUAAAGCGCCGAACAAUCCUUUGUUUGAAUCUCCGCUUUGUCCCCUAGAAUCCUUAAAACAUCAUUUCCAUUAAUAAAGUCUUGUUAUCUCCAUUUUCCCGCUUGGAGUAGGAUUCAAUGUGGUUUCUUUCUCUUCUUAACAUGUUUUUCAAAAAUGUUUAAAAAAAAAUUUGAUGCUGGAUAAUUAUAUUAUUACAAACUAUGAAAAAUAUUUGACAGAUUACUUGUAAGUUUUUUUCACUUAAUUUACAUAAUUUAACCUUUUUCAGAAAUCGAAAUUCAGACUUACUAUUGUAAAAACAUUAAUAAACUAUUAGUGAUCAAGAGGAUUCAUUACCCCUUCUAUAAUUAAGGUUUUCGCCACCAUACAACCCUUUUAAUGAAAUCAGAAGGUUGACAAAAAAGAUCAGAGGGCCCACCACCUUUUUCUUCACUCGUUAGAAUAUUUUCUUCUAUCGGUACUUUAUUCGUGGAUUGUAGGUAAAUCUCCACCUGGCUGGUAACAUUAUCAUCAUCAUCAUGGGGUAUUUGACUAUUGGAGAAAAAUCAUGAUUAAAAACAAUAAACCAAUUUCCAAAAAGGUCUUACAAAGGUUUUUUGAUAAUAAAAAGUUUUGUUUGUAAGAAUAGACAUGGCGAUUAAGAAUGAUCUGAGAACAGCUUGUUCCAUAAUAGCAAUUUGACUGGCAAAAGAGAUGAAAGCUGUGCUCUAGUCUCCUUAGUUCUCUGCUUGCAAAGAAGCUGAAGAGAAGAAAAAAACACUGAAACUGCGAUCCAACGUGAAGAUAACCAUAGAUUUUUGUUACUAAAUUAUCAGUUAGAUCUAAUUACCUUUAACGGAUGCUGGAUCGUCUUGUGGCCUCAUUGCCGGGAAGAGAAUAACCUCCUGCAACAUUUUAUCAGUUCAGUUCAUGAGUUUAGCCUGAAAGAUUUAAUAAUCAUUAGCAGAGAAUUGAGAUAAAGAGACUGACCUUGAUGUUUUGUGAGUCAGUGAACAGCAUGGCAAGCCUAUCUAUCCCCAAUCCCCAACCACCUGUUGGAGCCAAUCCGUAUUCUAAAGCAUUGCAGAAAGUCUCAUCUAAGGCCAUCGCUUCAUCGUCUCCCGACUGUCUAUCCUUGAGUUGAUCAGCAAACCUUUGACGCUGAACCACAGGAUCGUUCAGCUCGGUGUAGGCGUUGCAAAGCUGUGCUCAAGUUUAUAAUAUGUUAGUGAAACAAAGUAUUAAGAAAAGAUGUGUGAUGUGAUGUGAUGGAAUCAGAUUGGUAAUUAGCUUUUUACUUCAUCUUUGUUGAUGAACAGCUCGAAUAUCUCAGUCAGAACACUGUUCGAUCUAUGCCAUUUCGCCAAGGGAGACAUGAUCUCGGGAUGGUUGAUGAUGAAAGUUGGGUUGACACAUGUCACUUCCAGAAACUCUCCAACAAGCUGCAAGAAGAGACAACAUAUCAGAUUCUAGUUUCCUAUGCACACAUACAUGGAAGAGGGGAACUGAAGAUUUUACGAACUUUAUCUAGAAGACGAGCUGUAGGCUGAGGAGGUGGACAUUUCACGUCGAAUACUUGUUGGCUUCUUCGCUAGCCAAGUCCUUUGGAAUAUUGAGGUUAGCCACCUUCUCUAGCUCUCCUAUCAUCUCAAUCCUCCUACAGUUACCACAUAUAAGCUUUUAAAAAAAAACUCAUUAAGGGUGUAUUAGGAAAUGAAAAAAAGACCACUUGAACUACCUCAUAUUUCGCAUAUCAUUUCAAAUUUCAAUAUACUUCCCCGACUUCUUUUUUUUUUGUUAACUACUUCCCCGACUUCUAAUACGAAGCAAUAAAGCAAAUAUUAGUUUCUCCCUACUUCUCUGUACGGUAACCUUCCCCUACUUUUUUUUUUUCAACUUUGAUAGAUUAUUUUUAAUGUUAAAAACAUUAAAAGACGACAACCAAAUAUAUAAGUAAUAUAAGAAACUAAAUAUACGACUACAUUUGUAUAGGCACAUAAGCACUAGCCACCUAAUAUACUAUAAACAUAUAAUAUUCAAAUCUUUAUUUGAAUUUCUAUUUUUCUCCUCCGUGAGAUUUUUUUUUAACUAAUGUUUAAUACCAAAUGAAAACAUUGGCUAAGAUAAGAUACUAUACAACUAAAUAUUUUUUACCGGAUCGGCCGGUCACGAUUAAUAGCAUGUUUUUGGAAUUUAUCAGAUUUUUAAUUAGUGGCGUUUUUAUAAAAUUUGAAACGGAUUGUAGAUGUGUUACUGGAUUUAUCGGUUCGUCUACGAAUCGAAUAUAAAAAUAUUCUUAUAUUUUAAUUCGUCUAUAAGCUAUAUAUGUAUCCCACUAAAAUUAGUUAAAUAAUAGGUACAAAUAAAACGCUUUUCUGCACCAUUUAAAUGUAGAUAAAGUAUUAGGUCUCAUCUGAAAAGGCCAUCCAAGUAGAGGUUCCCAUAGUUAGGCGCGGUCCGACUAUCCGGAGUGGAACCAGGGCCUUGCGAGAAGGUUUCACCAAGGCUGUCCAACAAAUCCUUGAUCGAGACGGACAGACUGACCAGGACCAGCUACUGAUUGAGGAGAUGGUCCAGUUGAAGAUUCAAGAUCAAGGCGGCACAACGGAGGUUCAGGACGCAGCCGGCCCGAUCCAGUUCAGACUCAACCAAGCCGGACGACUCAUUUCCACAUCCGAGCUUGGGCCAGAUUCCAUUUCCAUUCCAUCCACUCCGACUCUUCCUGGUUUUGAGAACUAGCCAACAUCAGAAGGAGUAGUAUGCUGUUGUACUCUUUUUCCUUAUCGGGUUUUGUCCCACUGGGUUUUCCCGAAAAGACCAGGAGUCAUUGAAGAAACAUUGGAGAAGCUGCAAGUCAUCCGAGCAAACAUGAAGAAGGCACAUGAUCGACAAAGAAGAACGCGGAUCAAAGAAGGCGAGAAGUAGUAUUUGCAGUUGGAGAUAUGGUCUAUCUCAAGGUAUCAGCUCAGAAAGGAAAGGAUCAUUUCGGCAAAGUUGGGAACCAAUCCUAUCCUUUUACUUUUGUCAUUUGCUUGGUUCAUCCUCUUGUUAGUUUAAAAAAAAAAAAAAAAAAAUUUUGCACUUGUUCUUGCUGUUCUUGGCGAGUUCAAACUGGUUUUGCUUGCAUAUCUUUUGAUCCAUUUUUUGUGCAUCCAUCAUUCUAGCAACUCGUUUUUGGCAUCCAUCGAUUUCUACUUUCCUUUUUGAUCAGAUUUUCAUUUAAUUGCAUUUAAUUUACUUGGCUUGCACUUUAAGUUUUCCCAUAUUUAUAAAAAAAAAAAAAAUUAUUGUACUUUCCAUGUUUUAAAUUUUCGAUUUCUUAUCUUUCCAUUCUCAAAAAAAAAAAAAAUUUUACAUUCAUUGCAUGCCUUAGUUAGAUAUUCUUUCAUUCCUCUUUGAUUCUUUGCAAAUCACCUUUUUCUUUUUUUUCUUUUCCUCUCUGGUCGCAGGAGACAUGGGCGACCUAGAUGGAGCACCAACACAAGCCGAGAUCAAUGCUCAGCUGUUAGGUAACCAUGCUGAACUCCAAGCCACACUGGCCACGGUGACUGAGCAGCUGGCUCAGAUAACAGGGAGAAACCGAGCUAAUGCUCCACAGCCAAGGAGGAGAAACCAACCCAUUCCAGAAGAGCAACAAUCCCAAUCCAGUGAGGACAACUCGGACACUGACCGUACCGAACCGGACGAGCCGCGGUACGAACGGGCUGGGCGUGGGAACCGGCGGGAGUAUCGGGUCCAAGGCGAUGGAAGCCCGAUCCGUAGGAGAUUCCGAGAUGAAGAGGUCGCUUGGCAAGGAGGCAAGGAUCUCAAACUUACUCCUCCAACCUUUGCUGGAAAGGUCGACCCGGACGCUUACAUCGAAUGGGAGAAGCGCAUGGAGUACAUCUUUGAGUACUACCGCUAUACCGAGGCAAGAAGAUCGCCCUAGCCGCAGCACAGCUGACGGACAAUGCCCUAACUUGGUGGGACAAGGAAGUAGCCGAGGUUGGCAGGGUCUAUAGGAUCGAGACUUGGAAUGAGAUGCGAGCUAAACUCCGAGCAAGGUAUAUUCCCUCUUACUAUCAGCGGGACUUACUAAAACGUUUUCGCAAGUUGUCUCAGGGUACUAGGACCGUGGAGGAAUACUUUGAAGAGUUCGAGGCUCUCAAGAACAAGCUCAGGACGCGCGAAACCGAAGAAGUUAUGAUGGCACAGUUCUUGGAAGGUCUUCAAGACCGCAUCGCUCGCAAGGUGGAGAGGCAGACUUACGUCAACUUCAACGAUCUCCUCCACUAUGCCGUCCAGGCCGAGCAGCACAUUAGGAGGAAGAACGCCUCUAGUGCCAGGAACAAGACGCCAUGGGCUCCAUCCGGAUCCAAAGGAGCUGAGAAAAACAAGUCCGUUGAAGUGGACAGCCGGUUCAAGAAGAACCAAUCCGACCAGUCCAAGCAAGGCUCAUCCGAACCAGGUAAGGGACCUAGAUCGGCCAACUCCCUCUCCAUCGCGUCCGCCUAGCCGCUCCGUAGCCCUCAGUCCGACCUGUCCCGUCCAUCCAUAGCCCUCGGUCCGACCUGUCCAGUCCGAGUUCUUGAACCUCUGGCCGACCAUUUGGACAACCUGAAUCCCAGCCUGUAUCAUUUUGGUAUCAGAGCACAAAGCUCCUACACCUACGGUUGUAUCCUAUCCUUUUACUUUUGUUAUUCACAAAAAAAAAAAUUGCACUUGUUCUUGCUGUUCUUGGCGAGUUCAAAACUUGUUUUGUUUGCAUAACUUUUGAUCCAUUUUUGUGCAUCCAUCAUUCUAGUAACUUGUUUUUGGCAUCCAUCGAUCUCUACUUUCCUUUUUGAUCAGAUUUUCAUUUAAUUGCAUUUAAUUUACUUGGCUUGCACUUUAAGUUUUUCCAUAUUUAUAAAAAAAAAAAAAAUUAUUGUACUUUCCAUGUUUUAAAUUUUCGAUUUCUUAUCUUUCCAUUCUCAAAAAAAAAAAAAAUUUUACAUUCAUUGCAUGCCUUAGUUAGAUAUUCUUUCAUUCCUCUUUGAUUCUUUGCAAAUCACCUUUUUCUUUUUUUUCUUUUCCUCUCUGGUCGCAGGAGACAUGGACGACCUAGAUGGAGCACCAACACAAGCCGAGAUCAAUGCUCAGCUGUUGGCUAACCAUGCUGAACUCCAAGCCACACUGGCCACGGUGACUGAGCAGCUGGGUCAGAUAACAGGGAGAAACCGAGCUAAUGCUCCACAGCCAAGGAGAAGAAACCAACCCAUUCCAGAAGAGCAACAAUCCCAAUCCAGUGAGGACAACUCGGACACUGACCGUACCGAACCGGACGAGCCGCGGUACGAACGGGCUGGGCGUGGGAACCGGCGGGAGUAUCGGGUCCAAGGCGAUGGAAGCCCGAUCCGUAGGAGAUUCCGAGAUGAAGAGGUCGCCUGGCAAGGAGGCAAGGAUCUCAAACUUACUCCUCCAACCUUUGCUGGAAAGGUCGACCCGGACGCUUACAUCGAAUGGGAGAAGCGCAUGGAGUACAUCUUUGAGUACUACCGCUAUACCGAGGCAAGAAGAUCGCCCUAGCCGCAGCACAGCUGACGGACAAUGCCCUAACUUGGUGGGACAAGGAAGUAGCCGAGGUUGGCAGGGUCUAUAGGAUCAAGACUUGGAAUGAGAUGCGAGCUAAACUCCGAGCAAGGUAUAUUCCCUCUUACUAUCAGCGGGACUUACUAAAACGUUUUCGCAAGUUGUCUCAGGGUACUAGGACCGUGGAGGAAUACUUUGAAGAGUUCGAGGCUCUCAAGAACAAGCUCAGGACGCGCGAAACCGAAGAAGUUAUGAUGGCACAGUUCUUGGAAGGUCUUCAAGACCGCAUUGCUCGCAAGGUGGAGAGGCAGACUUACGUCAACUUCAACGACCUCCUCCACUAUGCCGUCCAGGCCGAGCAGCACAUUAGGAGGAAGAACGCCUCUAGUGCCAGGAACAAGACGCCAUGGGCUCCAUCCGGAUCCAAAGGAGCUGAGAAAAACAAGUCCGUUGAAGUGGAAAGCCGGUUCAAGAAGAACCAAUCCGAUCAGUCCAAACCAGGCUCAUCCGAACCAGGUAAGGGACAAACUCCAGCCCAAAGAACCCGUGAUAUUACUUGUUUCAAAUGUCAGGGGAAGGGGCACUACGCCAGGGACUGUCCGAACAAGCGUGUCAUGAUCCUUAAGGCGGACGGCGAGUAUGAGUCCCAAGACGAGGUCGAUGUAGGGUCGGCUGAAUCAGGAGAUGAGAUAGUGGACUAUGCUGAGACUGGUGAGCUACUGGUGGUCAGACGAGCUCUCAGUGCUCUCUUUGAUCCAGAGACCGUCCAACGAGAGAACAUCUUCCAUACGAGGUGUAGCGUGGAGGGCAAGGUAUGUAGUCUAAUUAUUGAUGGUGGCUCUUGCACUAAUGUGGCCAGCAGGUACCUUGUUGACAAGUUAGGGCUAGCAAAGUCGCCACACCCCAGGCCAUACAAGCUUAAAUGGCUCAAUGAUGAGACGGAGCUUAAAAUCUCGGAGCAAGUUGUUGUGCCCUUUUGUAUUGGUAAGUACCAGGACCAGGUGAAGUGUGAUGUGGUUCCUAUGCAAGCCGGACAUCUGCUGUUAGGGAGGCCUUGGCAGUUUGACAAGGAUACCAUUCACCAUGGAAGGACUAACACCUACAGUUUCACCCACAACAACAAGAAGCACAGCCUGGCUCCUCUCAGCCCCCAAGAGGUCUACGAAAUGCAGAGAGCCAUGGACCAGUCUGGGCUGUUUAGUAAAACUAACCUUUUCAUCUCUUCUAGUAAAGUGAUUAAAUCAUUGCAGCAAGAUACACAGGUGCUACUAAUGGUCUUCAAGGAAGGUUGUUUUGCAGGUUUUGAGGCACCAGAUUGCCCAGCUGAGAUGCAAGUGCUAAUGGACAAGUACAAGGACGUGUUUCCUGAGGAGAUACCAGCCGGCUUACCACCCCUCCGAGGCAUUGAGCAUCAGAUAGACUUUGUGCCCGGCGCCCCACUUCCAAACCGAGCCGCGUACCGAGUCAAUCCGGAGGAGGCUAAGGAGCUGGAGAGACAGGUCCAAGACCUCAUGGACAAGGGGUACAUUCGAGAGAGUCUCAGUCCAUGUGCAGUUCCCGUCCUCUUGGUGCCUAAGAAGGAUGGUACAUGGCGUAUGUGUGUUGACUGCCGAGCCAUCAACAACAUCACCAUAAAAUAUCGGUACCCCAUUCCUAGACUUGAUGAUAUGUUAGAUGAACUGAGUGGUUCCACCAUGUUUUCCAAGAUUGAUCUUAGGAGUGGCUAUCACCAAGUGCGGAUGAAGGAGGGAGACGAGUGGAAGACUGCUUUCAAGACCAAGCAAGGCUUGUAUGAGUGGCUGGUGAUGCCCUUUGGUCUUACCAACGCCCCUAGUACCUUCAUGAGGCUUAUGAACGAGGUUCUAAGGCCUUACAUUGGUAAAUUUGUGGUUGUCUAUUUUGAUGACAUAUUGAUCUAUAGUCAGUGCUUAUCCGAUCACAUUAGUCAUGUAGAACAGGUUUUGAAGGCUCUCAGGCAGGAAGGACUCUUUGCCAAUCUCAAGAAGUGUGUAUUUUGCACUGACCAGUUAAUAUUUUUAGGCUUUGUUGUGAGUUCACAGGGUUUGAAGGUCGAUGAGGAGAAGAUCAAGGCCAUCCAAGACUGGCCCACACCGACCACUAUUGGGCAAGUCCGAAGUUUCCAUGGCCUAGCCAGCUUCUAUAGGCGGUUUGUCAAGGACUUCAGCACCAUUGCUGCACCCAUGACCUCAGUGAUCAAGAAGAAUGUAUCCUUUGUUUGGGGCCCUGCCCAAGAGGAGUCUUUCAACAAGCUUAAAUAUAGUUUAACUCAUGCACCCGUUCUUACACUCCCUGAUUUUAAUAAAACUUUUGAGAUUGAGUGUGAUGCAUCAGGUACAGGCAUUGGAGCUGUCCUCACUCAAGGGGGCCGACCAGUGGCAUUCUUUAGUGAAAAACUGAGUGGAGCUGCCCUCAACUACCCAACCUAUGACAAAGAGCUAUACGCUCUAGUAAGGUCCCUUGAAACUUGGCAGCAUUACCUAUUGUCUAAGGAAUUUGUUAUUCAUACAGAUCAUGAGACACUUAAGCACUUGAGGGGACAGACCACACUCAAGAAGAGGCACGCCAGAUGGCUCGAGUUCGUGGAGACCUUUCCCUAUGUGAUCAAGUACAAGAAGGGCAAGGACAAUGUGGUGGCCGAUGCACUGUCCCGGAGACACACUCUCAUUGUGACCAUGGAGGCCAAGAUCAUGGGUUUCGAACAUAUUAAAGAAUCUUAUGCCACUGAUCUUGAUUUUAAUGAAGUUUUCAGGAACACUGAGAAGGGGGCUUUUGGGCCAUACUACCAGCAUGAGGGGUUCCUGUUCAAGGGCAAGAGGCUGUGCAUUCCCAAAGGAGCCAUGAGGGAACUGCUGGUUCGGGAGGCCCAUGGUGGCGGCCUCAUGGGACACUUUGGUCGGGACAAGACCUUGAGUGUCCUAACUGAACAUUUCUUUUGGCCAAACAUGAAGAGGGAUGUGGAGAGCAUAUGCGCCAAGUGCACUACUUGCCUCAAAACCAAGUCCAGGUCACAUCCUUACGGUUUACAAAUGCCAUUACCGAUUCCUAACCACCCUUGGGUAGACAUUUCUAUGGACUUUGUGCUGGGUUUACCCAAGAUAAACCACAAGGAUUCCAUUUUUGUAGUGGUAGACAGGUUCUCCAAGAUGGCCCAUUUCAUAGCCUGUAACACCACUAAUGAUGCCACUCAGACCGCCGACCUAUUCUUCAAAGAAGUGGUCCGACUACAUGGUGUUCCUCGAACCAUUGUGUCUGACCGUGAUACCAAGUUCCUCAGCCAUUUCUGGAGGACACUAUGGGGCAAGUUCGGAACCAAGCUACUAUUCUCGACCACUUGCCAUCCCCAGACCGACGGCCAGACUGAGGUAGUAAACCGUACGCUUUCUCAACUGUUGAGAGCUACGGUCGGUAAGAAUUUAAGAAAUUGGUUGUCUUGUUUGCCUUUUGUUGAGUUUGCUUAUAACCAUGCUAGGCACUCUACUACUAACCUGUCACCUUUUGAGAUUGUUUAUGGGUUUCAGCCAGAGACUCCUUUAGACUUCACCGAACUGCCCAGCUCCAUGUACCGCAGUCGUGAUGGAGUCGCCAAGGCAGAGUUUGUUAAGAAUAUGCACUUAAAGGUCAAGGAGAGGAUAGAAGCCAAGGCGGCUAAGGUCAAGGCCAAGUAUGACCAGAAGAGGAAGGAGGUACUGUUCGAACCCGGGGACUUGGUGUGGUUACACAUGCGGCCCGAGAGGUUUCCAGAAGCCCGGAAGUCCAAGCUCUCUCCUCGUGGGACAGGACCAUUCCGCAUCCUAAAGAAGAUCAACGACAACGCCUAUAUCCUUGACCUCCCUGCUGAAUUUAAAAUUUCACAUACUUUCAAUGUCUCGGAUUUGUCUCCUUUCCAUGCAGAUAGUGAUGACUUUGCAGAUGAUGGUGUUCUGAGGCCAGAACCUCUUCAAGAGGGAGGGAAUGAUGAGGCCAUCCAAGUAGAGGUUCCCAUAGUUAGGCGCGGUCCGACUACCCGGAGUGGAACCAGGGCCUUGCGAGAAGGUUUCACCAAAGCUGUCCAGCAUAUCCUUGAUCAAGAUGGACAGACUGACCAGGACCAGCUGCUGAUUGAGAAGAUGGUCCAGUUGAAGAUUCAAGAUCAAGCCGGCCCAAAGGAGGUUCAGGACGCGGCCGACCCGAUCCAGUUCAGACUCAACCAAGCCGGACUUCUCAUCUCCACAUCCGAGCUUGGUCCAGACUCAGUUUCCAUUUCAUCCACUCCAACUCUUUCCGGUUCUGAGAUCUAGCCGACCACCAAGGGGAGUAGCAUGUGUUGUACUCUUUUUCCUCACCAGGUUUUGUCCCAUUGGGUUUUCUUGGUAAGGUUUUAAUGAGGCAACAUGCAAGCAUGCUAUUAGCCUUGGUCUAAGCCUUCUCAAACCGACAACCAGAUGUCUGGUUUAUUUUAAUUUAUUUGGUUAAGACUUUGGGCUAAUGUUUCAGCCUCAUUUUCGGCCAGCUUGUUUAAGGCCUUUUAUCUUUGAGUCUCAUAAGGGGUAAACCCUAUAUAACUCCAUGAAGUUGGCGAUUUUUGCCUAAGUCUUUUAUGAAAUAAUUUUGCCUUUGCAAACCUAAAACCCUAAGUCUUUUUCUGUGAGAAACAAGAGAGAGCAGCCGAAUCUUAUCAAGCUUCAAACCACCAAGCUUGUGGCGAUUCUUCACUUCCAUCCCAUCCAUCGAUUUGCCUUGAGAGUGAUACACAUCCAGCAAGUCAAAUCCCAUAGCUAUCCACCUCCAUCCACUGUUCUUGUUGAGAGAGAUACACAUCCAGCAACAAGGAUCCAUCCCCCAUAUUUCUAUCCUUCUCUUAUUUUGUUUCAGUUUGCAUCAUAUAGUUCUAGAUUUCCAUUCGAUAUAAAAACUCAUAAAAAGUCAUAUUUGUUUCUGUUCUCAGUUUAUCAUUUAGUUUUCUUUCAGUUCAUCAUUUUAAAAUCCAUAAAAAAGCUCAUAAAAAAAUAACUCUCCUUGCUUCAAGAACUAGAUCGGCGAACUCCCUCUCCAUCGCGUCCGCCUAGCCGCUCCGUAGCCCUCGGUCCGACCUGUCCCGUCCGAGUUCUUGAACCUCUGGCCGACCAUUUGGGAUAGCUGAAUCUCAGCCUGUAUCAUCAUCGUUAUGUUUUAGGUUGGAAAAUUUAGGUUUUUGUUCAGUUAGGGUAGCAAGUUGAGAACCGGCUAAUGUCCAAACAAAAUUGUGUUUAGUUCGGUUUGAUUUUUUUGUUUUAGAAAUAUAGGAUCUGUUUGGUUAAUUUUUGAAAUUCGAUACGAUUUUAAUUUCAGUUUUUUUUUAUAUAUUUUUAGUUCCAAAUAAAUGUGCUUAGAUCUACCCAUUAUGUUAUAGAAACAAAUUAUAUUUUAUAAAAUUAUUUAAUUCUGAAAAUAAUCCUGCGAUUUUAAAGAUUAUUUAAUUUUGAAAAUAAAUCUCUGCUUUUCACAAAGCUCAAACCGGAUUUAUCUUGUGUUGCCGGGUUUACCGGUUCAAUCGCGGAUCCGGUUGGAUUUCAAAACACCGAGUAUGAAACUUUGAUUUUUGGGUCGAUUCCAGGUCGGUGUUUUCAGGUACGAAUAUUUUUGACUAAUUAUGUUAAAUAACUACUAAGUAAAUAUAAUAUGUUGCAAACUUUAGGAACAAAAUUUAAAAAUAAUUUAUGGAAUGUAUAUGGCACAAGUGUAUAGUUAUGCAAAAAUUAAACUAAAUUAAAUUAAUAUUAAUUACAAAUAUAAUUAAAAACACAAAUAUAAAAAUUGAAUUUCUCAAAAAAUUAAAACAAAAAAUAUACAUCUAUAUUAUUAAAAGUGAAGUACAUUUCAGAGUUGUUUGGGUAUAUGAAUAGUAGGAUUAAUAAAAACUGUUUUGUUUGGAUGCAUAGAUAUAGUUAAUACUUUAGAUUUUAAUUUAAAAAUUCGACAUGCUUUUUAAAAACGUGAACAAAACAAAAUAAAGCAUAUAUUUAAUACUUUAGAUUUUAACUUAAAAUAGGAUUAAUAAAAACGGCUAGAUUUUAACAGAACGUAAGUUCCAAGUUAAAAAUAAGGCAUAUAUUUCAAAAACAAAUAUACACAAAAUCUAAACUUAACAAAAACAUAAUUCCAACACAUUAACUCCACAUAUAUCGAUCUUACAAACUAACAUAUCUGAACGAGAAUCCUAAUUACUUGAUUCCCUCAUUUCACACCUUCUUUAUCCAAUUUUCAAAUAAUAAAUUAUCAAAACCAUUUUAAGUAUAACAACCGAAUAUUCUCUUUUUGUGCUAACAAAUUUAGUUACUUAGGCAACUAAUAUAUAUCUUGCUUGAUUGACUCCACAAAAAUCGUGCUAUUAAAUUUUUAAAAAAAUUCUUUAGAUUACGUAUAACCCACUAUAUAUAUAAACCUUCCCCUCAUAUUCUUCAUACUCACCGUAGCAAAGAAAAAAAAAACUAAAAUGUCUAACAAGUAAAGUAGUUUGGUUUUGUCGAACAAGCAGAGUUUGGUUUUUCUUAACCAAGUCAAACCCUUCAAAGACACUUGGCGAGUAUAUGUGAAGUGUCUUCACUCAUGUAAGAUAAACAACAACUCUGGUAAAUCUCUCGAAUGCGUUCUCGUGGAUGAACAAGUAAGUUUGAUUUUAUAUAUAUAUAUAUAUAUAUAUAUUGUCUCUUAUAUGUAAUACUCUAUCGAUUUUGUUGUUUAUAUUAGCAAAAAAUAUUAAUAUCAGCUUUUAUAUUGUGUUUAGGGUGAGAAACUUCAUGCUUCUGCCAAAAGAAAUCAGAUGUAUCGUCUACAGCGCAACCUUCCUAUUGGUGAAUAGCGGUUUAUUGAGAACUUUACAGUUACGAGUGCUGGAGGUCAAUAUCGAAUAACUACCUCUCCAAAUUACAUUUAUUAUUUUAUCUUUGUUUUUCUAUUAUUAUUAUUUAUUUAUGUGAAAAAAUUAUUUUAAAAACCUUAUUCUUACAUAUUUUAAAAGUAUUUAUCAUAUAUUAAGAACAAACAGUUUCUGAUGUAAUAUAUAUUGCCUUUUCAACAUUUUUUUCAUUAAUUAUAAAUAAGGUUCCCCUAUAAUUGUAUUAAGAUAGAUUAUAAUAAUAUAGAUUUUAAAUACUGUAUAACAAUUUGACAGAUCUUACACAUCCAGUUACGAAAUAUAUAAUACACAUGAUUUUUUAACCAUAUUGAAUUGAUAUAUUUGACUUCGUUUAAUUUUCCAUAAACAAAUGAAUAUACAUAAAAUAGAAUAUGUAUUUUUCAUAAAGCUGUAAAUUUGUUAAAAUCUAAAUAAAAUAUUGUUUGUUCUCAACAUUUCAAGAUUACACAAUACAGUGACGAAAUACAAAGUUUAAACAGUAAACUUUAAUAAUACAAAUUCGUUCAACUAAAUUAAGAUUUGCAAAUGUUUAUAUAUAUAUCAUAAAAAUAUAGACCCGCCCAGUCGGGCGGGUUAAGAUCUAGUGUCCUUUUAAAGGGCGGACGGAAUCUAGUGAUGGAUUAAUAAUGGAUAUGUGUGGGGUUCAAGGGAUUACCAAAUGAUAUGGUACAACUUUAUAAUAGAGGGGCCUGUACAAUUUAAAAUACUACCAGAAAACACUGUGUCCAAGAGAAUAUUUUUGUUUUAAUUUAAUAAGAUAGAUUUAUUUACUAAAAUAUUAAAAAUUAGGGAUGAUUUAAUAAUGAAUAUGUGUGGGUUCCAAAGGAUUAAUAAUGGUAUGGUAUAUAUAUAUAUAUAUAUAUAUUAUUUGCGAAGUGAUUUUUCGGUUUCGGACUCUCACAUUAAAAUUUGGAGCGAUUAAAGUCGUUAUUACCAUUAAUAGAUAUUUAAAUUUAAAAAAAUUGAUGAAACAAAGAAAAAAUAAUAAUAAAUCAUAUUUGAAAAAUUAAGAAAAAGUGAGUGUAUAGAUUAAGUUACAUAUAUUAUGUAUUUAACCUUUUAUUUUAAAUGGUCCAAUAGGUUAUGCGAUUAUGUUUUGUAUAACAAAAUUCUUGAAAUUAUUGAUAACAUGAUUUUCAAUCGUGUGAGGUUUAAUUUAUAAAUGUUUUUAAAAAUUCAAUACAAAGUUUGAAAUUAAAAUAAAUGUUGGACGUAUUGGGUCUCAAAGUUUCACCUAAAAUAAUACAACUGCAAGGUGGCCUUCAUUUGUGUAAAGGAGAUUGAUCAACAUGGCUAAAAACAGAAACGUGGGUUGAUUAUGCAUUAUGUAUAAUUAGUAUUCCCCUAUAUAUUAAAUGAAAAAUCACUUUAGUGAUUUCUGCUGGCGUGUCGCUAGUAGGUGAAGUUUCAAGAAAUUGUUAUAAUUUGAUUGGUCGAUGAUUUUUAAUUUUUACUUAUUUAAAUUAGAUCUAAAAAUUUAGGGUAAGUCUAAAAUCAUUUAACAUAACUUACCAUAUAAUCUAAAGAAUAUUACAAAUAACAAUUUAUGACAACUAAUUUUUGAAAUUAUAGAAAGAUUAAUAAAGUUUUCUUUAUUAUUUUUAAUAUUAUAAACUAUAAAAAUAUAUUGAAUGAAUUUUUAUAUAAGAUAAUUAUAAUAGUUUUAUACUUUAUUUGAUGAAUUGUAUUCGAAUAUAAUUAUAUAAUAACUAUUUUAAAUAUUACAAAAUCAAAACAUGUUUUAUUAAUAUGAUUUUUAAAUUACUUAUUGCUGUUUACAGAAUAAAUUUAUCAGAGUUUUAAAAUAAUUUAUAAAAUGUUAUAAAUUAUUUAUAAAAAUAUAAAUCAUACUAUAUAUUGAUUGAGAAGUCAUAUAAAUGAUUUUUUCUUACGUGUCAAUCAUAAAUGAAUUCUUAAAAUUGUUAUAAUUUGAAUGGUCAAUGAAUUUUAAUUUUAUUUACUAUAAUUAUAUCUAAAAGGAAAAUAUAACUCAAUUACCAAUUAAUAUCGCUUUUCAAGUAAUCUACAUAAUAUUAGAAAUAAUUAUUUACGGUAACUAAUUAUUUUUGUUUAAUGAAGUUUGAAAUUUAUUGAUCAUUGUAUAAUAAAUAAGGUAACUAAUUGUUGAGACUAUGAAAAAGUAAUAAUGUGAUCACAUUUUUUAUAUAUUUAUAAACUACAUAAAAUAAUAAACAAAAAUGUUUAUUUGAAUUGAUAUAAUGAUUUUAUAUUUGUAUAUAAAGCCUUAUAUUUGUAUAUAAAGUAUCAUAAUAACUAAUGUCUAAUAAAGUCCAUACAUGCUUUAUAAAUCAUUUAUAAAAUUAUUUAUAUUGACUUAUCAGAUGUUUUAAAUUAUUAUAAGAGAUUCUAAGUCAUUUAUAGAAGCUUAUAUAUUAAUUUAUAAAAUGUAUUUUGAAAAUUUAUUUUAUAUUAAAUGAGAACUCACUUAAUUAAUUUUUGUUUAGGUGUCUUUGAGUUUUAGAAAAACUAUUAUAAUUUGAUCAUUAAUAGAUUUUCUAUUUUUAUUUAUUUUAUGAGUAAGAAAAUCACUUCUAGAACCAAUUUCUAUCAGUAUCCAAACAAUAUAAAUAUAUUGCAUAAAAUAAUUUAUUUUAAUUAAAUAUGUGAUUUAUAUAAAAUAUAUGUAAUGCCCAUAAAAUCAUUUUUAUUAAUCAAGUAUUUCUAAACUAUAUAAUUUAUUUCAAAAGUAAUUUAUAGAAUUGAUAUAGUAGUUUUAUAUUGCUAUGUAGUUAGAUAUGAAUAUGUAGAAAAUGUGUAACAAUCAUAUUGUUUUAUCUUUUAAUCUUAAUAAAGACAUAUAAAUUUAACAACAAAUUAUUUAAAAAUCAAAAGUUUCAAUACUACAUACCUUCAAAACUCAUUUUAUUAAAAAUGAAUUAUGAAUAUUAUAUAAAUAAUUUUAACAAAAAUAUUUUAAAUACAAAAUAUCAACAGAUAUUUGAAAUAUUAAUAUUCAUCUUUUUUAAAAACAAUUAUUCUUUAAAAAAAAAUUAACAGUAAACACAUAUUCAAUUUUGAUUAUGAAAAAUAUCUUAAUUUGACAAAUUAUAUUAAAUAUAUUGUUACAAAACAUUCAAACCCGCAAAAUUGCGGGCAUCCACCUAGUAUGAUAAUUUGAUGUGAGGUUUAAUUUAUAAAUUUGUUUUUAAAAGUUCAAUAGAAAGUUUGAAAUUAAAAUAAAUGUUGGACGUAUUGGGCCUCAAAGUUUCACCUAAAAUAAUACAACUGCAAGGUGGCCUUCGUUUUGUGUAAAGGAGUUUGAUCAACAUGGCUAAAAACAGAAACGUGGGUUAAUUAAGCUAUAAGACAUGCAUUAUGUUUAAUUAGUAUAGAUGAUUAUUUGAUGUGACAAAUUAAUUGGCUGAAAGGAUUUUGCCUUGUGUCACACUAGGCAAGAUAAUGAUCAUAUAGCACCUCUUGGUAUUGUAGAUUAAGCUAAUCUAAAACAAAAAAAAAAGAGCUAAUAAACAGUGUCCAUAAUCAGGGAAUAACAUUAAUUAGUGAACAAUAAGAGAUUUAAGUUGAUGUUUUUCUUAGAUAAGAUAAAACCAUGGGUACUAAAAAAAAAGCAAUUAAGCAAAAUGAAAAAACAAAUAUUUCAAAUUAAAACAUAGACUACGAAACGAAAAGCAAGAGCUGCUGCUGAUAACUUAGUAACAAGAUCACACCAUCAAGAACCGUCAGGACUUGCUUACUUCAUACGUUUGCCUUUUCGAUCGAAGUCAGCAACUCGCGAUCGCCUAUUCUCCUUAAUGUUCAAUUUACGAACGGCAGGAAGUCUCAUCUCCUGCGAGAUGAAAAAAGUUUAGUGAUCAAAUGGUUAGAUAACGUUAAUAUACAGAGAGGAGAUGGAGAGAGUGCUUACUUCUUUUGCAUGUUCUUUAUCAGUAGAGAGAUGCUUCCUGAACUGAUCAAUGCUUUUGGUACCAAAGUGGCACAAACUGCAAUUAAACGUAGCGGUAGGUUCACCGCUUUCACUGCUACACUUGUGAAGAACAAGUCUUCUUUGUUCGAAAUCUGCAAGUAAGCUUUCCCAGAGCCACUCUGCAGAAGUGAGCAGGAAUGACAUUUGGUAAGGCCUAAACGAAUAAGCCAGAAAAAGGUUGUAUUUAUUCUCUUGUAGUAAAAUGACGUUUUGGAAGGCCUAAACGAAUAAGCCAGGAAAAGCUUGUAAUUAUUCUCUUGUAGUAGCUCGACAAGAUAAUGUGAAAUCCAAUCCACAUGAUCCGAUAUGACCAUCAUUAUAGUAGCAUUCCGAGGAGGAUUAUCAUAAUGCCACUUCUCCACAACUGAAGCCAUGUCUGGGAGAUCUGUAUCCUCAUCAAUCAAACAAUAAAAGGAAUGCAUUUCAGUGUUGGCCGGGGUAGAAAUUUUAAACGCUAAAAAAAAAAAAAAAUCAAAUUCAAAAGACGAACCGGGAACGCAAUGUAAAGCAUGGACACCAGUGGAAGAGAGAGCUUGCAGGGGAGUAUGGUUAUGGUCGCCAUAGGCAGUGAUAGAGACAGGACCAGAGUAGCCUAGUUCCUUGAAUGCAGCUUCUAGACUGGGACGGACCCGACGAGCAUCAUAACCUUCGGGAAGCGGACAAGACGUCAUGUCCCACCACACCUGUAUUUUAGCUGUCGCAAAUUCAGGAGUAGCCUUGUAGUUCUUUCCCCACUCCUCCGUUACACAUACGACCUUGUCGUACGUAGGGUUUAUAAUCUCCUGCGAGUGGACACCAAAAUUAAAUAAAUAAAGUUUUUUUUAUUAAAAUUGUUACACAAAAUAAAAUAAAAAAAAAGAAGAGAAAAGAGGAUCUGCUUACCUCUCGUACAUGCUCGUAACUCCAGAUAUGCUUCUUGAAUUUCUUCAGGCUUUGGGUAUCGAAAUUGCAAGAAUUGCAAUACAACUUGGCACCCUGAACAGCAACAUGUGGUCCGCUUAGUUUAAGUAAACUUUUCCAGCACCACUCUUCACUUGUGGAGAGGAGAAUUGAUACUUUAGGCACAACUGAAUAAGCCAGAAAAAGGUUGUAUGGCGUCCGUUGUUGUAGCCGGAGCAGAUCCCAAUCAAAGACACCUCGCACCUUAUUUGAUAUGAUCAUCAUUGUAGCCGGAGGAGGAUUCUGACCUCGCCAUUCCACCAUAUCCCGAUACAUCAUGUAGUGUACGCUUUCUGUUUCAGUUUUUUUUUUUUUGGUAUUUAAUUAGUAUUAUCCAAACUAAUAAACAUAUUAUAUACAUAUAUAUAAAGUUCCAGAGAUUGAUUACUAACCGGAUCUGGUAUGUGCUACAGAGAUUCCAGUGGAUAAGAGACCUUGCAGGAUGUGACCAGGGGUUUGUGUUUGCUCGCCAUAGGCAGUGAUGGAGACUGGACCAGAGUAGCCUCGUUCCUUGAACGCCCCUUCUAAACUCGGUCGGACCUGACCAGCAUCAUAACCCCCCGGAAUCGGACAAUCCUUCAUGUCCCACCAUACCGCUAUUUUAGCCGUCGCGUAUUCAGCCGUCGCCGUCCCGUAUUCAGCCGUCGCCGUCAUCCUGUAAACCCUUUUAACUAAUCUAUCUCACACACACAAGUCCUCCCACUUCGUUCUAGGGUUCCUUUUUAUAUAUACAUCAAACUAAUGUGCCCUAAACGAAAGCCAGUAAAGCCCACGAUAAUAAUAUAUUGUCUUGGUGCCGGUCAUUUUAAGUGGAUUUUAAAAAUGCCUCAUGUGUUAAGCAUAAGUAGUACAAUUUUAAUAUUUAACUAGGUGUCUUCCUGCCCCAUGUGCAUUAAAAAAAUUUAAAAUAUUUUUUAACAGAUAAAUAUAAAUUAUAUUAUAAAAUAAAAUUUUAUUAAUAUUAUAAAUUUUCUUUUUCGUAUCAAUAUUUUAAUAUAAAUUUGAUUUAAUUAAACAUAAAAAUUAUUUUUAAGAAUAUGCUCGUAUAUAUUUGAAAUUAUAAUCUUAGAUAGAUUUUUCUAUCUAUUUAUUUUAAUUAAAUAUAUUAAAUAAAUUUGUAAAAGUUGCAUAAUUACCAAAAAUUAAAAUGAAACAAUAUUUAUAAAAUUUGUAGAUAUAUAAGAAAAUAAUGAUUUUACGGUUAAUUUUUAUAAUUUUUAAAAAAAAUUGUAUACAUUUUUGGAAAUUUUAGUAAUAAAAUUUUAUAAUUUAAAAAUAUAUAAUUAAAUUAUAUUUCGAAAUUUAUAAUGCCAUAUUUGAAUAUAUUUAUUUUAAUGAUGAUUUAUGAGUUAUUUCCAUAUUCUAAAAAAAAUUCCAAAAAUAUAAAUUGACAUUAAAUGUAAUAUAUGAGUUAUUACCAUAUUUUAAAAAGUUUACCAAAAAUCUAUUCUAUUUAAAGAGAAUCAUUCUGAAAAAAUCUACUUAUGAAAGGUUGUUAGACCAUUUCAUUUACUACCAAUAUAUUUGGUCUUACCAUAAUAUUUGACUAACAAUAUCUAACAUAAAAUUUCUCUAACAAUAAUUUAUUACACCACAUCUUUUUGAACAUGACAAAGUUAUACAACAAAUAAAAUUUUAUUUAUUAGACCAUAUCACACGGCAAUGAUAUACACAAUUUAGUUUUUAUACUUUAUUAUACUCUUUUCUAAACAUACAAUAUAGUUUAUAUAUUUUAUGACACUCUUUUCUAAACAUCUGUAUAGUUCCAAAUAUUUACAAAAUCAAAUUUAAUACAAACACUUUAACAAACCAUAUGUAAAAAAUAAAACUAUAUAUUUUACGUUAAAUUAUUUUUUUAUAGUUUAAAACAAAUUUUGUUAUUUAAUACAAGAUUAAAAAUUAUUAAAAAAUUUACAAAUCUAUACUACUAAAUUAGCCAAAAUCAACCAAGUAAAUCUUAAGGCUCACAAAUUCAACAAAUGUAACUCUUAUAAAAUGCACACAAAAUAUAACGGGAGAGAGUAGUUAUAGGCAUCGGGUCUUCUGGUUGGGUACGGAUCGGUUCCUUUCGAUAUAAGUAUUUAAAAUUUUCUGGUUCGGAUUCGGGUCGAUUUCUUUGGGAUCAAGGUCCAUACUUCAAAUACCUACAAAAUACCUAUAAUUUUUGGGUACGUAACGGUCCAAAUUGGCUUGGGGUUUUAGGACUCGGAAAAUAUUCGAAGUACCCAAAAAUUAAAAAAAAUACUGAAACACAAAAAAUCCGAAAACAAAAAUAAAUACCUGAAAAAUAUUUAAAUUCCUAAAAAAACCCAAAGUUUAUGGUAAAUAUGACAUGAGGAACCUAAGAUACCUAAAAACAUUUCUUCAUACCCAAAAAAAAUUGAAUUUUACCCGAAACUAUAAUCGGAAAUCUGGAUCCGAAACUUAAAAAAAUAUUCAUAAUACUGAAAACACAUUCGAAAUACCAAAUACAUAUAUGAAAAAAAUCAAAUAUACCUAAUAUACUUAAAACAUUUAAUAUACUUUGAAUACCCAACUGGGUCUCGGAUAGGACUAGGAAUCGAACAAAGACCCAAGUCGAAGAAAAAAUCAAAUAUGUACUUUGCCCUAAAUCCAAACCCAAACCACAACUAUAUUUCUUGAUUGAUUUUGGUCUGGUUUUUCGGAUCUGGUGAAAUAUCUAAAACUAAAAAGAAUUAUAUAAUAGUGUACAUACAAAAUAUUAUAUAAACUAAUAUACUUUGAAUACCCAACUGGGUCUCGGAUAGGACUAGGAAUCGAACAAAGACCGCAAGUCGGCGAAAAAAAUCAAAUAUGUACUUUGUCCUAGAUCCAAACCCAAACCACAACUAUAUUUCUUGGUUGAUUUUGGUUUGGUUUUUCGGAUCCUCUGAAAUAUCUAAGACUAAAAAGAGUUAUAUAAUAGUGUACAUACAAAAUAUUAUAUAAACAAAUUCACAAAUUAUAUAAUUUUAAACAAGUGCCCUUCUUCGAUAUAAUGACUUUGUAAGAGAAUAAUGUCCGCCAAUUCUAAAAUACUAAUUCACAAAUUUUGUUUAUAAUCCAAAGAAGAACUCGCGCUUUCGAAGCGCGGGUCAAAAUCUAGUAUAAAUUAACAUUAAAUGCAAUUGUCCAUGUCAUAUUAAACUAUAAGACAUGUCAUCAAUUUCAGUUGUCAUGUCAUAUUUGUUUUGUGAAACUGAUUGUAGAAAGGACAUGUGACAAAAUCACUUCGCAAAUAUAGUAUAGGGGAAACCCAGUACAUCAAUCAAUAUUGUUAAAAAGAUAGAGAGUUUUCAAAAAUCUACCUAUGCAAAGUUACGUGGACCUAUUCACUAGAAACUGAAUUUUUUUGGUUUUACUUUAUAUUUUAUUGUUACUUAUUUUACUCAAUAGUAAAGAUACCAUAUAUUGAACCCGUGAAUACUCUUUUCUUAUCCCCUAUAUAUUAUUUGAGAAGCAUUGCAACAUUUUUUGUAGUCACAUGUCAUCACUAUAAUGAUUCUUAGAAUCCGUAGAGAAAUAUGUUAGUCUAUCUAAAUAUAUAAUAAAGUUUUUAUUAAACUAACCAUAAAUACAUUAUUAAUGUGCUUCAAUAUUUUCUUAAAUAAAAUUACGAAAUUGCCUAAUGUGGCUAAAGUAUAUAUGACAAUUAAUGAUUAAAGAUUUUGAUAAAAAUAAGUGUAUCUUAUAUUAUAUUUGUUUAAUUUUCAACUAUUACAAUAAAUUAAACAGCCAUAUUAACCAUAUAAUAAAAAUUAAAUUUUUUCUUUAUACGUUAUAUUUUGAAUUUUUAAAAAUGAGUAUAAAUUACUAAAACUGUUAAAAGUCACACAUUCAAAUUUUGUGAUCCAUGGUUUAAAUUUUUUGUUAUGACAUGAUAAAAAUACAUAAAUAUCUUAAUUUUGAAAUUUACUUGGAACAAUUUUUAUGAUAAAAUUUUGAAAAACUAUUGACAACUUAAUUUUUAAAAAUAUUAUAAAUUACUUAAACUAUUAAUUCUACAGUAAAUUUUUUGUUAUCAGUAAUUUAAUUUUUUUGCUAUAACAAAUACAAAUGAUAAAAAAACAUAUGAGUAGAAAGCAUCAUUUAAUAAAUAAUAAUAUUAAAAUAUAUUAUAUAUAUGUUACUAUCAUUUAAAUUUAAUUAUAUACCAUAUCAAAUAGAAAAAAAUAUUAUUUGGAUUAAUAAAAUUUAUUUAUAUGUUCGCACCAAUUUAAUUAUAUAAAUAAUAGUUACUAACUUUUUAAUUAUUCAAUAUAUAUUUAUUAUUUCAUAAUAUGUUUGAAACAUAUAAUAUAUAAAAUAAUUUAUAUAUAAUGUUAAUCCUAAUCGCGCGCAAGGCGCGGAUCUUAACCUAGUUAAAGUCGGUACACUACACCAGUACACCCUAUAUUUACGGACUACUAAGUUAUUUUACCCAAACUAUAUCAUUUCUAUGAGCCACCAACGACUUCUAAACUUAUAUAAUUAAUCUCAACAUUAAAACAUGACUCAUCUAAUACAAUAUAACAAAAUUAUAUCAUUCUGUUGACCUACCAACUAUUACACUCCAUCUCUCCAUUGAUCAAACUUCUGUCUACAAUAUUUCAAACUCUUAUUCAAAUGUCACUUAUUCUAAAAUCAUACAUGACAGUGCUAGAGGCCUUGACCACCAAAUUAAAUAAAUCAUAAUUUUUAAGCUCAGAUUUUAAUAAUGAAUGUAGGUCUCAACCUUCAUUUUUAGUCUGAAUUUAUAAUAUAUUGAGUAGAUUUAGAAAAAAAAAUGAUAGGUUUAUAAUAACUGCAACUUUUUAUAUGCUUGGUUUUAUAUUUUUAUAGCUUGAUUUUAAAUAUACAUAUAUAUAUAUAUAUAUAUAUAUAUAUAUGGGAGAAAAUCUUUCUAAUAACAAGAUUUACUUCAUUUUAUAAUUUCUAUACUAUUAAACACACAAAUUUCAUCUUCUGAUAUAUUUCAAACAAAUUACAAAAACUCAAACGCUUGAUCACAUCCAUAUAAAUCAAUAUGACUUUUUAACUUAACAGAAACACUUUAGAAAAUCAUCUGUUAAAAACAAAUUCUAUAUUUUACACUAUUUUUUAUAAAAAAGAAUUUAUAGUAAAAUUUGUUAUUUAAAAUAAGUUUAAAAUCUACUAAAACUUACAAACCUAUAAUAUUAAAUUAACCAAAAAUAUGCCACGUAAUUCUUAAGUCUCACCAUCUCAGCAACAAAUGCAGUUCUUAUAAAAUGCACACAAGCAAUAAAACGAGAGAUUCGGCAUUCGGGUCUUCAUUCAGUACAGAUCGGUUCCUUUUGAGUUUGGGUUCCUUGGGUUCUAAACAAUUGAAUAAUUGGGUAUUUGAAAACUUUUGGUUCGUCUUCAGGUUGGUCUUUUUCAGGUUGAAGUUAGAGCAGGUCCAUAAUUUGAAUAACUGUAAUUUUUGGGAAUGUGGCGGGUCUAGAUUGGUUUGGAUAUUUAGUACCGAAAAAGAAUCAAAGUAUUCAAAAACCGAGAAACCAAAAAAUACCCAAAUCUUUUUCCAAGUACCCAAAAUAUACUUUUUAAAAAUUUGGAAUUUCAACUGAAACCCGAAAUUAUAAUCGAAAACAAAAACCAAAAAUUAAAAAAAAAAGUAUAUAUAAUACCAAAAGCCUAUCCAAAAUACCCAAUAUACCAAACAUACACAAAAAAAUUUCAAGUACUGUAAGUACCCGAUCGGGUUUCGGGUAUGAACCAGACCCGAACACAGACCCGCUGGACCAAGAAUAAAAUCUAAUAUGUACUUUGCCUUUGACCCGGACCCAAACUGUACCAAUAUUGUAUGAUCGAUUUCGGUUUAUUUUUUCGGUUCCGGUAAAAUAUCCAAAUGUAAACGAAAGAAAGAGUUACAUAAGAGUGUACAUACAAAAAAUUUAAUAAACUAAUUCAUAAAUUAUAUAAUUUUAAUUAGACUUUUUAGGUAUAAUAUGACCCUAUAACAUGAUAAUAUACAAAAACUAUAAAAAAACUAAUUCACAAAUUUUAUUUACAGCCCAAAGAACAACCCGCGCUUUCUAAGCGAGGAUCAAAAAACGUAUCUGGAUUAUAAUUUUAGAAACAUUUAACUCAUUUUGGUGAUCAUUAAGAGCACACAAUCAAACCCAAAACUUGUCUUUUGUAUGAGCUGUGAAAGUUGUUGAGAAAGGUGCUCUAAUUUUCUGUUUGGUUGAUGGUAAUUUAUUAGUGAUUUUGUGUUUGUGUCAUGGUCAUAUAUGGUCCGGUAAGGUUCUUAGGGCAUUGGUAUUGGUGGGACUCAACCCACAAGCCCUUAGCAUUUUUUUAAUAAGGUUAUAUGUUAAGGGGACAUUGAAAAAUUUGGUAGAUUAUUAGUGAGACUUUGCUUGUCCCUUAGGUUAUUAUUUAAUUAAUUUAUUAUUUUAAUAAUGAAUUACAUAUAAAAAGAAGUUUUAAAUAAAACAUAUAAAAGAGAAGUUUAACAUUAAAAUUGAAAUCUUAAGAAAAUUACAAAGUUGAAAAAAAAAUACCAAACAUCAUAAUAAAAAAAACACACACACAAACAUUUAUUCCAAUACAAAUAGAAACUUAUAAAUUAUAUGUUAUGUGUAAGAUGUCCAAAUUUAGUCCAUAUAUUUUCAAUCAAAUCAUUUUUUAAAUGUUGAUGGAUUUGUCUAUUCCGAACGCUCGUUCGACGAUCAAUUGUACUCACGAUAGGUGAAGGCAUAUUGACGGAAAAUGUAGCCACCUUUUCUCUUUCUUCAAAUUCAUGAACGUUGUCCUUAGUUCCUGAUGAUCGUUCAUCUUCGACAAUCAUAUUAUGGAGUAUGAUACAUGCUCUCAAAAUAUUUCCUAUUUUUUUUAUCCCAUAUAUUAGAUGGAUUUCUAACAACGGAAAACCUAGCUUGUAGGACUCCGAAGGCACGCUCGACAUCUUUUUGCACAACUUCUUGGGUUUGAGCGAAUAAUGAAUGCUUCUGACCUUGUGGUAGUCGGAUAGAUUGAAUAAAAGUAUUCCAUUUCGGAUAAAUACCAUCUGUGAGAUAAUAUGCCAAAUGGUAUGGAUUACCAUUAACAUAGAAGUUAACUUGGGGCGCUAUUCCGUUAAUAAUGUCAUCAAAAACGGGUGAUCGAUCGAGAAUAUUAAGAUCGUUCAUAGUACCUGGAGCUCCAAAAAACGCGUGUCAUAUCCAGAGGUCAUAUGAAGCUACCGCCUCUAAGACAAUCGUUGGUUUUCCGGUUCCUCGUGAAUACAUUCCUUUCCAAGCCGUGGGGCAAUUCUUCUACUCCCAAUGCAUACAGUCGAUGCUUCCAAUCAUCCCUGGAAACCCAUGUUGUUCUCCAAUAUAUAGUAGUCUUUGCAGAUCCUCCGGCAUGGGACGUCUUAGGUAUUCAUCGCCAAACAAGUGGAUUAUUCCCGCGGAAAAAUUGUGCAAACUUCUUCGAGCUGUUGUUUCACCAAUUCGGACAUAUUCGUCAACUGUGUCAGACCCACCACCAUACGCCAAUUAACGAAUUGCUGCGGUACAUUUUUUGGAGCGGAGUUAGACUCGACCGUCCGGUUGCAUCUACUCUGGGUUGAAAAUACUCAACUUCUGUAGAGAGACGAUGCACAAUACGCAAGAAUAAUGCCUUGUUCAUUCGAAACUGUCGCCGGAAUACAUUGUGCGGGUAUGUUGGAGUUUCGCUAAAAUAAUCAUUCCAGAGCUUCUGAUGGCCUUCCUCCCGUGUCUCUCGAUAAAAACUCGUGUUUUUCGCUAUUUUGGUUUUGGAUUGAAAUCAAUUUCUUCAAAUAAAUCUUCAAAUACAUCAUCUAAUUCAUUAUCAUCAUCUUUGUGGUAAUGAUAAUGGGAAGAAGAAGCCAUUGACAAUUUUUACAAGAGAAAAAAAUGUUUACAAAUUUAAGAGAAGAUGAGACUUUGCACAUUUGUAAUGAGAGAAGAAGUCUCAAUACUUAUAUGAUAAAGAAGAAGUCUCUACGAGUCCUCCCGUGAAUGAAUAUUGGUAUAAAAUCUUUAGUACAUCUUGUGACUUAUUGGUAGAAAGCAAAAUAAACAUGUGGCUUUGGAUCAUGUGACUUAUUGGUACAAAGAAACUCAACUUGUGACUUAUGGUUGUAAAUGAAAUAAACAUGUGUAUAAACAAUCUAACUUAUUAUGGUUACAUCUUGUAAAAGAAAUAUCGGUUACAAAUAAGAAACUUGAUGUCAUGGUGCAAUCUAACUUAUUAUGGUCACUAUAUGUUACAAAUAAGAAACUUGUGAUCAUGUGACUUAAGGUCAGCCAUUCUAUUUGGUCACGAGCACAAAUAAAAGAGUACAAAACCAUAUCGGUUACAUAGUUAAAAUUAUCCAAACAUAACCACCAAGCCUAUUACAACAACAAGAACAACUAUGCCUAUUACAAAGCACUCAAACCCAUAACUAAAAGAAGAUUUCUCCUUAGCCAUAUCACCCACAAUCUUCUCUAGGUUUUGUAUCUCCUGCUCUGUGUCAUAGUCAGUCAAAAGGGUUAGGCUUUCUACCUUUUCACCCAGCUUAAGCACGUGUAUAUCUCUGGCUCUCAUCUCCUCCAUCAGCGCCUCAUCCCACCAUUUGUAGACAUGGCAUUGGCCGUCGUCUUUCUUCGCACAAGUGUAAUAUCUUCUCCCUGUUUCACAUACGCAAAACUAGCUAAGCACAUACACAAACUAGCACAUAAGCAAGUCAGUAACUAACUAGCACAUACCUUGAUCUUGCCUAGUGUUAGACGUUGCAAGCAGUGGCCUAGCACCACAAUAGCAAACCUGCGGGAAACCAAACUCAACCUCCGGUUGCGGAGGGUAGUGAACCUGUGAACUACGUUCCAAGCUUAACUCAGCUUGGUCACGUCGUAUGAGAUCAUCCGUCUCGCUGUACUCACUGUCGUCAUUGUUUCCAAAUAAAUCCUCGUCAUCUGUGAGUAACGGCUGUGUGGUUUCAGUUUGAGCGUAUGAGUAAAGACUGAAAUGGGAGGUGGAUAGACACAAUGAAUAUGUUGCAGUUAUAUUAAAUUGCUGCAUUCAACUUCUGUAUGAGAGAAAGAGUCAUCGACGUCUGAGAAAUAGAUCUAAGCAUAUUGUGCCUGUGUCGACUGCUAUCAUCACAAAUCAGUCUACUUCUUUUGUUUGCUAUUGAACGUUGUGUCAAUUUAUUCAUAGUCUGAGCAUUUCAAAUUUAUAUCCUAAAUGAUAGGUGUUCCAUAUGUUUUAAGUUUUUCCAUUUCCCGCGCCAAAAAAAUGUUUUUAUAUACAAAUUAUAUAUAUAUAUAUAUGUAUAUAUAUAUAUAUAUGUAUAUGCGUAUAUAUAUAUAUAUAUAUAUAUGUAUAUGCGUAUGUACGUGAUGCAAUGAAUAAAAUCAAAAAUGAGUUUAAAUAUUCGUUAUUAUUAGUGUGUCGGAGGUGCCCAUCAGUUAAUGCCUUUUUUUUUUGUUGGGGGAUCAAUUUCGGUUUAACUUGACUUCAAAAAAGUUUUUCAAAUUUGGUUCUAAAUCGAUUUCUUCAGAUAUUAUUGUAACAGAUCUAUAUAUAUAAAGUAGAUAUUUUCCCUUCUUCUGACAAGUGGCAGGGAGGUUUGCUGCCACGUGUCCUCUUUUAUUUUUUCAUCAAAAUUCACAUGUUUGUUAUAUUAAAAAAUUACCGAUGGAACUUGAAUAAUGCAAAAACUAAGAAAAUUAGAAUAAAUAAACAAAUAACAAAAGAAAGCGAAAUUUUCGAUUCCGAUAGAAUUUCUGAGAAUUUUAGUUAUCUAAUCGUUCUCGCACAAAGAAUCAUUAUAUGAAAUUUGAUAAUUAUUUUAUUGGUCAGUAAAAUUCAAGAUGAAUAAAUAAAUAAUAUAAAUAAUAUAAAUAAUUUUAAAUAUUUAAUUUAUGAACAACUAAAAAUAAUAUUAACUUUCACUAUUUAUUAAUUUUUACUAUUUUCUAUUUUUUAAUUUACAAAUUAAAUAUUUAUUUCACUAUUAAAAAUCAUAAAAUAACUAAACUAAGAAGAAGAAACUGGAGCACAACAUAUGGUCUAAACCUAAAACCUCCGCAACCACCAAAAAAAGGUAAAAUUCCAUAAUAAUACUAACUCAAUAAAGGUCCGAAACUGAAAAGAGAUUAAUAAUGAGGACUAAAUUACCUCAUCUUACUACAUAGUGUUUUAGCUAAAAUAAUCAGAAGUCAGAAUAAAAAAAAAAAAAAAAAAAUCUGAGACAAAACAAUCCUCCGAACACAAAUGUGUGUGAUAGAGUACCAACGCAAAGAACCAAAAAGCAAGCCAGAAGAAAAAUAAUGACCAAAAUGCCAAAGUCAGUACGAAGUAGGAAGGCACAUGCCUAAAGCCCCAAAAGCCCAGCCACCAGCUAAGAGGUAAGAAGCACCUCACAAACUUAAGCAAGACGUCCAUGCCAGCUAAGAACCACAAAACUCUAGAUUAAAAGGACCAAAUCUCCAUGAGAUUAACUCCGUACGCCUAUACCAAGGGAAACAUGGAAAGAAAAGAAACAACCUGAGGGAGCGAGAAUGGUAGCCAACCACCGAGAAACCAGAGCUCAAGCUUGAUACCAUAAACAACCUUCCAAGCCCACCGAGCAUACACAGAGGAAAACACUAUCCAAACCUAGAGUGGAAAACAUGGCAGAAAUGAGAGCUACUAGAGAUGCGAGCAGCAAUGAAAACUGCAACGAGAUGAGAGAACAGUGAGGGAAUGGAAAACAAAAUGAAAUUAGCAAACCGUAGAGCCGUACUCAAGCUAUGAAAGAGAUAAAAGAAGUUAGAUCACGAAAAAAAUAAAAUUUUAAAACCAAGACGAACAGGGACCAUCGACGUCAAGCCAACGACAAUGAAAAAACAUCAACGACGCUUAAACUCUGACCCAACCCAAGAAGAUGCAGUCUCCAACAUCAGCCAAAAUUUAAGGAAGAAAAGGAGCAAUCAAUAUUGACCGAAACAACCUACAAUGCAGUGAGAAAUAACCGCACAACUUGGAACUCAUAGACCCGACCUAUAACAAAGAUGAGAUAAUCUCACAGGACAAGAAGGACAAUAAGAACUCUACUCCAAAACAUAACAAUCAUUCUUGGGAGAAGCACCCGUGAGGUAAAUGAAAUACAAAGAUGGUUAUAGGUAAGGUCAAAAUAUAGAGAUAUGGCUAAAAACAUCUCAAAAAAAUAAUGUUCAAAAUUUUGAAAAUACAAUAAAAUAUAAUUUUGACUCUGAAAUCGUUAAUCUUAGAAUCAACAAAUAUAUAAAUGCAAAGUUAUUGAAACUAAAUAUGUUUUAUAUGAGAGGCUCACGUCACCACUAACAAAUACUAUUAUAUACACGACAACACAUUAUUGAAAAAACAAACACAAAAUAUAUUAACAUAUCACUUACUACUACAUAAUACAGUAAAAAUACAAAUAAUGCUUUUAACAAAUAAAGACGGCUACAUAAUUAUAUCAUCCUGAAAAAUUAUACUUAUUAACAAUAAAACAAUAUUCCACGCGAAGCGCGGACACCCCCUAAUAUAUCAUAUUUUUGAGUUAUGUGUGGUGAUUACUGAUUAGUAAUGUCAACGACCAGAAAAUCUUUUUUUGACGAUGCUAUAUGUGAACUCAUUACUCCACAUUAACUCAUAAGAAGAGGCAAAAGCUUCAUCAUAAAGAAAAGCCAUGGAAAUAGUUAUCGUGAAAAAGAUUUGCAUAGAUAAAAAUGAAAACGAAUAACCACUGAGACAUUGUCUUAGAUAAAAAAGCAAAAAAAAACAAAAGCAAAGUUCAAACUGGAGAAAAUAAACUGAUAAAAUAGAAACGUAGUUGUAAGCUAUAGGAAAAGGUCUUAUUCCACACGUGCCUUCUUAUGGGCACUCUCUUCCAUAGCAAACUGUUCCUCUUCUGCUGCCUCACGGCUGCCAAUUGCACCAUUGGCUGCAGAUCCUCGUGUCACAGUCUGAGAGACUGCCGGUUGAGGGACCUCUUCGGCUUCCUGAAACCAACAUAGCAAUGUUGCUGAUUUAAUAUUUAUAACAUCAGAAACUUUUGAUAAGGGGAAGGGAAAAUCACUCACAGCAAAGCUUGGGGUGGGAGCUAUCUCUGGUGCAGCAAACAUGCGUGAGAUGGUGAAGGUCUGGUGGUUUGCAGUGAAGUUGAAGUCUGUUAGCUUGAGCUGGAAAGUGUAGGUGUUACCAACAAUGACAGUGAGAGUUCGAGGAAGCUCAGUGUCAACAUGGGCACUAAUACCAAUCCCCUGACAAAGUAGUAAAAACAUUACAAAUGUAUUGAGUUCCACAAGCAAUCGUAAACGCUGGAAUGGGUUAAAAAGGACUUACCACAAUCUGCGCAGCUUCGGAAGCUAGCACAUUAGUCAGCUUAGCAACUUCUUUAUCAAAUCCAAGGAAAGACGAUGUGCCAGUCGGGUCUGAAACAGAAAAUACUACCCGAUACUUGUCGGACAUAAAUGAAUUUCAGUAUUUGGUUCAAUGACACAACAAACUUAAAAGGGAAAAAAAUUACUUCAGUUCAGCUACAGCAUUGGUUUCAUUGCAUGAGGGACAGUUGAAUGAAGUUUCCUCACGGAUGAGUUUCUUCGAACACAGAGAGCAGCCAAUAUAGCACCAACCAUCGUCAAGCUGAAUCCCAAUUACUUUAGCCGUGCAAAGGAAUUCGAUGAUCUGUUAAAGGAAAAAAAAACGAUUAAUUAGACAAUUCUAAAAAGGGAGUAACUUCCAAUGUAUCAGUUUGUACCUGAGGUUCAGCAGAGAGAACAAACUCGUUAAGCUCAGCGAUGGUGAGAGGCUCAAUCUUUUGUGCAUGAACCACCUUUGAUGAAGACCCUGUCUCGUCUGCUCCACCACCUGGUAGUCUGUAAGAAGAUAAUACACUACAAGAAAACAUAAUCUUAACGAGGGCGAUUUUCCUCGUGAGUUCGUCGUAAAAGAGGCUUUACGACGAAUUAGCGAGGAACCACGUUGGGUCGUUACUCAUCUGUCGUAACACAUAUUUCCUCGCCAAUUCGUCGUAACGUAGCGAGGAAUAUAUUUCGUCGUAAAGACGAAGUAGAUCAUUUCGUCGUAAAGACCACGUCAACAUUCCACGUAAGGAGGUCGCUAUAUUUCCUCGUAAAUACCUCGAAACAAGUUCCCCGUAAACUACACGUAAAUACCUUGAAAGUGUUUCCUCGUAAAAUACUCGUUUAUCUUUCCUCGUUAUUUCCUCGUAAAUGUUUUCUCGCAAAAUACUCGUUUAUUAUUUCUCGUCAUUUCCUCGUAAGGUUUCCACGUAAAUAGGUCGUACCUUAGCUACGAAUUUACUUCAUUUUUAUUAUUUUACAGAAUUUAAAAAUAUAAUUAAAAAAUAAUUAAAAUUAUUUAAUUUAUUAAUAAAAUUGAAAUUUAAAAUAAAAAUAAAUCAAUAUGAAAAUAUUUUAUAUAUAAAUAAGUUUUGAAUUUAUAAUACAACAACCGGAAAAAAAAAACUAAGAGUCGUUCAUCGCCUGGUAGAAUUCAUCACUCCUCCUCGUAACAUCCGCCUCGUUAUAUACGUCGGAUGACUCGCCUCGAAUGGGAUGUUGUUGUCGCAUGUUCCUCAACAUGGACUUCCAUUCCGGAUUUGUGGCCGCUAUAACGUCCAAGAAGCCCUCGACUCACCGAAGAUCUCUCUGUAAUGGGCAGUAAGUCUUUCUUUUCGAACCUGAGAAAAAAAUUAAAUUUUUAAAAUUAACAUCAACAGUAUAUUUCCCAACAUUAUCCACCUAAUGAACACUAAAUAACAUAAAAUCCGUAAACCUAUCUAAAUUCCCUAUACUAACCACCUAAUCUAUAUUAAACUAACCAAAUUAGAGAGGAAUUAGAGAGACUUACCAUUGCUACGAAAUGGAGAGGAGGUGGAGAGGAAGUAGAGAGGAAAGAAAGAGUGAGGGCUCGGGGGUAUAUAUAAGAUUGCAUAUCGUCGCAAAUUCGUCGUAAGGUUACGACGAAAUAGCGAGCAGUUACAAAGGCCCGUGUUUUUCAAUACGAGGAAAUUACGAGGAAUCGCAAAGGCCCGUGUUUUUAUAUACGAGGUAUUAACGACGAUUUUGCUUACGUGGAAUUAACGAGUCUUGCUUUCCUAUAAAUAUACCCACAACUCUCAUUCUCAAACCACACACAAACUCCCAAAUCACACCCUAUCUGAAAUCACAUUCCUCAGUAAAAUCCUAUUCAAAUUAUAAAUAUUUGAAAAAAUAGGAAAAUGAUAAGAUAUUAGAAUUCAUGUGGGCGAGACUUACGUAUUAUAAUUGCUGGAAGUCUUGCCACAUGUUAAUCUGAUAUUUUUAUCCUUUUCCUUUUUUUUCUAGUUUUUACACUACGAGGUAUUUACGACGAUUUCUACUUACGUGGAAUUAACGAGUGUUAUGUUUAAAUCCUAUUACGUGGUAUUUACGACGAUUUCAUCCAACGUGGUCUUUACGACGAUUUAUGCUUACGUAGAAUUAACGAGUGUUUUGUUUAAAUCCUUUUACGUGGUGUUUACGACGAUUUCUGCUUACGUGGAAUUAACGAGUAUUAUGUUUAAAUCCCUAAAAUCCGAAACCCCCAAACCCCAAACCCCAAACCCAAAACCCCAAACCCCAAACCUGAAACCCCAAACCCCAAACCUCAAACCACGAAACCUCCAAACCUCAAACCCCAAACCCCAAACCCCAAACCCCAAACCUGAAACCCCAAACCCCAAACCUCAAACCCCGAAACCUCUAAACCCCAAACCCGAAACCCGAAACCCCAAACCCCAUAUUCCAAACCCAAAACUCCAUAUUCCUUAUUUUCAUAUAUUCCAAACUCCAUCUUUAUUUUUAAAUUUCGUUGUUAUUUCCUCGUUGGCUUACGAGGUAUUUACGACGAUUUCUGCCUACGUGGAAUUUACGACGAUUUCUUAUACGUGGUCUUUACGACGAUUUUUGCCUACGUGGAAUUUACGACGAUUUCUUAUACGUGGUCUUUACGACAAUUUGUGCUUACGUGGAAUUAACGAGCCUGCGUUCUUUAUUUUAAUAUUUCGUCGUUAUUUCCUCGUUGGCUUACGUGGAAUUUACGAGUGUUAUGUUUAAAUCCCUAGAAUCCAAAACCCCAAACCCCAAACCCCAUAUUCCUUAUUUUCUACUUCAUAUAUUCCAAACCACAUCUUUAUUUCUAUUCCAAACCACAAUUCCUACAUUUACUUAUUCAUAAAACAAACUCCCACAUUACCUUAUUCAUAAAACAAACCCCACAUUAUCUUAUUCAUAAAACAAACUCUCUCAUCUUAUUCAUAAAACAAAUACAUCAAUCGGAUACAUCGACAUUCUCGUCAUCACUAGAAACAUCAUCAUUUUCAUUAAACUCGUCUUCAACAGCUUCGUCUGUGGCAUCAUCGGUAAGAUCUUCGUACUCGUGAUUAUGCGGAUCAAUGAGAAGGAUGUCAUCAAUUUCUUGUUCAGGUUCCUUGACUUCAUUUAUCUGUUCUUCUUGCAAUUGUGGUUGUUCUCCACUGAUGAUUCAUCCUCGAGGUGUAACUUUGAUCACUGCUAACCAAUUUAUACCUGAAUCUCUCAUCCGAGGGUAUGGAAGGAAGCUAACUUGGUCUGCUUGUGAAGCUAAGAUGAAAGGCUCGAAUUUGUUGUACCUUCGUCCACCGUUGACAUCAACUACACCAAAUUUGUUAGACCGAACACCUCUGUUGACGACGGGGUCGAACCAUUCACAUUUGAAGAGGACGCAUUUCAACUUCAGUAUCCCUGGAAAUUCGACUUCAAUAAUCUCCGUCAAGAUCCCGUAGAAAUCUGUUUCCCCUUUCAUCCAUAUUCCAUAGUUACUGGUCGCCCGCUGUCUACCAUACUCAUAUGUAUGAAAAGUAUAGCCUCGUGUGAAAUACAUCUGUGAUGUGGUGACCUUUACAAGUGGAGAUUGAAUUACUUCGUGUAACCACUUAGGAUAAUCUGCAUCUGUGAUGUGGUGACCUUAAAAAAAAAAACGUGUAACACCUACAAAGUUGGUGGAUUCAAAAUUUCCUCGCUAAAUACACAUAAACUAUUUCCUCGUAAAUAACACGCAAAGUUUACGUCGUAUUUACGAGGAAGUAGUUUUUCCUCGUAAAAUACUCGUUAAAUUACAUCCACUUUACGACGAAACACUUUUGUCGUUACGUUACGAGAAAAUAACGAUGACUUUAGUUUUCCACGUAAGUUCCUCGUAAAAUCGACGUAAAUUUACGAGGAUUGUUUUUCCACGUUAAAUUUCCUCGCUAAGCAUGUGUUUUCUUGUAGUGAUACUGACAAAGGCAUCAAAAGGAACAUAAUACAGGGAACCAAAAUAUCUAGUGUAGAAUAUAAAGCAAAGGUCUCGCCUUUCAAGCCGAUCCUUUCCAGCUGAGGUCUCAGAGUCAAAGAAAAUCCUUGAAGCGGAUGUUCCAUUCAAGUAUAACUUGCCUGCCAACAGUAAUGUGGAGUUAUCUAAGAGAACACAAACCACUAUGACUGUUUUAUCACUUUGACAAAUGAGGCUACUUUAAAUGGAAUGCUCUUCUACCCGAUACAUCACUGCAAAUAAUAUGAGUAACAUUGUCAGACAGUGUAGAUAGAGUAAACGAUAAUAACAAACAGAUACAAUAACACACAAAAUACCUCUCCACACGAAGAGUAAGCAUCACGCGUUGUGCUCCGGGUAAACGGUCCGUGAUGGUGCUCCUAAUUGCACGAACCUCCCCAAUAACAUCUGAGGUAUUAUAUUAUGAUAAGUUACAGUGCGAAAUGAGAAAAAAAAAUCUAAUAUUAAGGAAAGAAAUACCUGGGAGCUGUCUAGAGGUGUUUGCUAACUCAAGAAUCUGUCCAUGUGGUCGGAAGCGAAAAUGUUCUGUAGGUAUGGUUCUAGCAGUGGCAGCAAGCUUCUCAAAAUCAGUUCCUUCAUUGAAAAGGAUGGAGUCAGGGCCAUCAGUCAACUUGAAUUUCGGGUUGCUGCGUGUAACGUCAAACCGGCUGAGAGUGUAAACUGAUCUUUCAGUAAGACGUUCCCUGAACUUACGUUGGUGAACAGCAGGAACACACCCUUGAACCAUGGUAUCCUGUUGAUAUCAAAGUAGAGAAACAUCAGUUAAUCAAAUAAGCUUAACUGUCAAGAGAGCUAAUCGGAAAAAAUUAAAAGGAAAGUGAAAAUUUCUUAAAAAUCUGAAUUAAAAUUAUAACGAAUGUGAAUUAUGUUUCUGAAUAAAUUAAAUUUUUUUGCAAACAGAUCAACGUCUUUGAUGGAAGUCAAUAAAAAAAUAUUUAAAAAACUUUGAAUCUUGAACAUAUAAAAUCGGGGGGAAGAACACUUACAGCCUCAUCGAUGAGCAGCAUCUCAAUACUCAUCAGCUCCCCUCCUUUGUUGAUAUUUCUGGCCUCCCAGAACCUCAGCAAGCGGACCUCAGCAGUAUUAGAGCAUCGACCGGCUCUCAAAUUCGCAAGCAGAGUGUAUGAAUUCGCCAUCUGAAUAUGUUGCUUCUAGGAGAUCGUAUGUUUGAGCAAAUUGUUUCAGAUGCGAGGUGAAGGGAAGUGAUGGCCGAUAUUUAUAGAUGGAGUUCGAGGCGGUUUGAGGGUGAACGAAGAGAUAUAUCGAAAUCAUUAUGCAUGAAAAGUGGAUUAUUGAAUGGAAAACUCAGAAUAAAUGUAGGGCAAAUCUCCAAAAUAGCACAUUUCUAAGUUUAUAUCACAAAGUUAGCACUCAAAAACUAAAAUGACCAAAAUAGCACCUUUCUAAGUUUAUCCUUUGAAAAUUUUAAUUUUUUUAUUUUUCAAAAUUUGAAAUCUUAUCCCCAAAACCUCAUUUCUCAACUCUAAACCCUAAACUCUAAACCCUAAACCCUAAACAAUAAACCAUAAACCCUAAACCCUAAACCCUAAACUCUAAACCCUAAACCCUAAACUCUAAACUCUAAACCCUAAACCCUAAACCCUAAAUCCUAAACCCUAAAUCCUAAACCCCACCCUUUAAUUCUAAACCAUAAGUUUGUGACUUUUGAUAAAACAUUAAGUGCUAUUUUUGUGACUUUUGACCUUGAGUGCUAGUUUGGGAACAUAAACUUGAUUUAGUGCUAUUUUUGUCUUUUUCUCAUAAAUGUAAGAGUAAUGAUUCUGGGACGUUUUGGUUUCUAUGGUUUCUCUGCAGGGUGGAGGCACGGAAGAAGAAGGAGAAUGACGCAGGGGAAAAUAACCUUAAAAAUUUAUGGGCCUAUACUAAUCAUACAUAAGCCCAAACAAUUUGUUUCUGAUGCCCAAAUAUCGGGCCUCCCCGUGACGCGCGAGCAAGGAAGACAGCGUACAGACCACACUACGCUCUAGGCCUGAAGGGAGAGCGUGGGCUACACAGACGUCCUACCGAGCUGACACGUGUCAACAAAAACCCCAACCUAUUUUGGUGUCGUGGAGGACUGUGUGCAUCACACAAAUCAACUUUAUUAUAUAUAGAUUUCAAACUCUUAUUCAAAUGUCACUUAUUCUAAAAUCAUACAUGACAGUGUUAGAGGCCUCGACCACCAAAUUAAAUAAAUCAUAAUUUUUAAGCUCAGAUUUUAAUAAUGAAUAUAGGUCUCAACCUUCAUUUUUAGUUUGAAUUUAUAAUAUAUUGAGUAGAUUUAGAAAAAAAUGAUACGUUUAUAAUAACUGCAACUUUUUAUAUGCUUGGUUUUAUAUUUGUAUAGCUUGAUUUUAAAUAUACAUAUAUAUAUAAAUAUGGGCGAAAAUCUUUCUAAUAACAAGAUUUACUUCAUUUUAUAGUUUCUAUACUAUUAAACACACAAAUUUGAUCACAUCCAUAAAUCAAUAUGACUUUUUAACUUAAGAGACACUUCAGAAAAUCAUCUGUUAAAAACAAAUUCUAUAUUUUACACUAUUUUUUAUAAAAAGAAUUUAUAGUAAAAUCUGUUAUUUAAAAUCUACUAAAACUUACAAACCUAUAAUAUUAAAUUAAUCAAAAAUAUGCCACGUAAUUCUUAAGUCUCACCAUCUCAGCAACAAAUGCAGUUCUUAUAAAAUGCACACAAGCAAUAAAACGAGAGACUGGACAUUCGGGUCUUCAUGCCAGUACAGAUCGGUUCCUUUUGAGUUUGGGUUCCUUGGGUCCUAAACAAUUGAAUAAUUGGGUAUUUGAAAACUUUUGGUUCGUCUUCAGGUUGGUCUUUUUCAGGUUGAAGUUAGAGCAGGUCCAUAAUUUGAAUAACUGUAAUUUUUGGGAAUGUGGCGGGUCUAGAUUGGUUUGGAUAUUUAGUACCGAAAAAGAAUCAAAGUAUUCAAAAACCGAGAAACUGAAAAUACCCAAAUCUUUUUCCAAGUACCCAAAAUACACUUUUUAAAAAUUUGGAAUUUCAACUGAAACCCGAAAUUAUAAUCGAAAACAAAAACCAAAUUUUUUUUUAAAAAAAGUAUAUAUAGUACCAAAAACCUAUCCAAAAUAUCCAAUAUACCUAACAUACACAAAAAAAUUUGAAGUACUGUAAGUACCCGAUCGGGUUUCGGGUAUGAACCAGACCCGCUGGUCCAAGAAUAAAAUCUAAUAUGUACUUUGCCUUUGACCCAGACCCAAACUGUACCAAUAUUGUAUGAUCGAUUUCGGUUUAUUUUUUCGGUUCCGGAAAAAUAUCCAAAUGUAAACGAAAGAAAGAGUUACAUAAGAGUGUACAUACAAAAAAUUUAAUAAACUAAUUCAUAAAUUAUAUAAUUUUAAUUAAACUUUUUAGGUAUAAUAUGACUCUAUAACAUGAUAAUAUACAAAAACUAUAAAAAACUAAUUCACAAAUUUUAUUUACAACCUAAAGAACAACCCGCGCUUUCUAAGCGAGGAUCAAAAGGAUUAUAAUUUUAGAAACAUUUAACUCAUUUUGGUGAUCAUUAAGAGCACACAAUCAAACCCAAAACUUGUCUUUUGUAUGAGCUGUGAAAGUUGUUGAGAAAGGUGCUCUAAUUUUCUGUUUGGUUGAUGGUAAUUUAUUAGUGAUUUUGUGUUUGUGUCAUGGUCAUAUAUAUAUGGUCCGGUAAGGUUCUUUAGUUCUUACAUUUACUGGUGAACAUGUUCUAGGUCGAUAAAGCAGAUCAUAAAAAAUAUAUUAUUUAAUUUUCUCAUCAGAGUUAUUAGCAAAGUGAUACUUCCUCUGUAUUUUAAACCGUUUGUUCUUGUGGUGCCAUCUUAAAACGGAUUGGUUUCAAGUUUGUAACUCUUGAUGUAUUUUAUUAUGCUUCUGUUUGCAGCACUUCGGGCUGUCCUUUCGGAGAGAACUGCCAUUUCUUGCAUUACGUACCCGGAGGAUACAAUGCUGUAGCAGCUGACAAACAUGACACCACCCAUGCCUCAAGUUUCAAGAAACAUGCAAGGGAGAUUCUCAGGGAGAGGAGACUCUGGUCCUGGCCACCUCUCUAGCUUUGGUGCCUCGGCCACUGCAAAAAUCAGCGUGGAUGCUUCAUUGGCAGGCGCAAUCAUUGGAAAAGGUGGAGUCAGUUCCAAACAGAUAUAUCGUCAAACAGGGGCGAAGCUAACGAUUCAAGAUCACGAGAGGGACCCGAACCUGAAGAACAUUGAGCUUGAAGGAACGUUUGAGCAGAUAAACGAAGCGAGCGUGAUGGUUAGAGAGCUGAUUGGGAGGCUCAACUCGGCAGCUAGGAGACCACCAGCUGGUGUUGUUGGUGGGGUUGGUUCUGAAGGGAAACCGCAUCCAGGGAGCAACUUCAAGACGAAGAUGUGUGAGAGAUUCUCUAAAGGAAGCUGUACGUUUGGUGAUAGAUGUCACUUUGCACACGGGGAAGCGGAGCUACGCAGGUCAGGAAUCUCCUCCUGAGUUAUUAUUGCUGGAGUUAGAAGAGAAGUUUACUUGCAAAACAAGUCUCUUCCUUUUGUGCUCAAUUCACGUCUUCACCUACUUACUUUUUUUUUGUGCUGUUUUCUUUUGUUUAUGAGAAUACAAUGUUAGUUUCAUUGUCAUUGUAUGUUUUUUUUUUAGAAUUUAGUUUUUGUUAGAUCAAGUUUGGGAGGUUUCAUGAAUGAUAUUCACAACAAACAGUGGCUAGGAUUUGUAUGCUGCCUUUAUUUGAUUAUCUCCAUAUCAUCUGGUCAUAUGAUUUUCUGAAUAUGUUGAGGGUUUUUCUUGUAGUAGAAAAAAUAUCUAUAGGACAAAUAUAAUCAAUUUCGUGCAUGUUUAACGGUUCUUCCAGUUCAUCAAGUGAUAGAGCCAUUAAGGCUUGGUCCAUCGACCCCAUGGCAUCAAAGUCUACAUUAGUGGAGUUUUCAGAUCCAUAAACAUCCGUUGGUCUUCCUUGCCUUGUUGGCUUUAGAAAAUGUUUAAAGAGAAAAAAUAAAAUAAAAAUAAAAAAGUUGUAAAAAUCACGUAUUAUUGCUUUGUUGGCUUUAGAAAAAACAACACAAAAGAAGAUAGAGAAAAUUUUAAAGACUUUAGAGAUUUAGGAUGAUUAUUUUUUAAAAAAAGUCUGAUUAGUAUAGGUGUAUAAUUUUCGUUUGACAAUUGUCAAAAAUAUCUUAUGUGGAUCUAAGUACACUUCCUUAUGUAUUUUCGUUUGUUUGUUUGUGCAAAGUGCAACCAUACUUCGUUGCGUCCAAUACACCACUAAAAAUAACACUCCUUUUCUAGUGGUGCACUUUUUUUCAUUUUUGUGGUUAUUCACAAUGAAAAUUGACAACCUUGUGUAAUAUUAGGGUGCCAACUCAACUGCCAAGGUUCUUUAACAAAAAAAAACGAAAAAUAAUAUAGCGAAAAAGUUAGCCAAUCAAUUUAAAGACAUGUGUAAUCUAUAGUUUAACUCUAAAAUAUAUUAUUUACAUUUUUAAAUAAUCAUAUAAAAAAUGCUUCAACUCCUAAAAUUUCAUCAGGAACAAUAGAAAAAAAAACAAUUAAAAAGAAGCAAAAUCAGACCAUUUUAUUCAGCAACUUUCCUUAGCUGCAUUUUAGAAAACAUGACAGUCAAUAAAACAGAGAUCGCAACUCUAGUUUCAACUUAUGCCACUGCAAAAAGUCAACCUUUUUGGACGGAUAAAUGGUAGAAAGACCAGAAGACCCACACACCGGGGCCCAUAUAUUGACAGCGUGGCAUCACAGAAGCCCACCAGCCAAACUAUCUCGUUCUUGUCCGGUCUUUCCUAGUUUCAUCGUCUCUCACCGGUUUGUCUCUCCACGCUUCUCUUACCUGCGUUCGAUUCCGUAAUCUCGACUCCGAAGUCUAACUCUUCGUCUGAGAGACGAAGACCGCUCGUCUCAGAGAAGGCGUUUUCCAGACUCCCUGCGACGACGACGAGAUUACCGCUGCUUGGCUCGCACCUAAAGACGUUCCUCCUCAGAAGAUGUCAUGUGUUGUUGUUCAUAUUGCAGGUAGCACCAUUACAGAUAGAUUCUUGUGUAUUUCAAGUAUGAAUCUCUUUAUUCACAUGGAAACAGAUUCCAUAGUUAUAGAACUAGUUGCUCUGCUCUAUGGUGGAAUGGCUUUUUCUAAUUGUUUAUGUGAUCUUCAUCUGUGCACGCACACCAGCUUAUGGGAUAAUAUUUAUUACAAUAGUUAUUCAGUUUGUAAAUAUCAUAUCUUGGUGCAUUGCUUGUAGGGACAGGUGAUCAUACAUAUGACAGGAGAUUGCGUCUAGGUUGACCUUUGGUGAAGCAAAACAUUGCAACAAUGGUGCUGGAGAGGUAAUCAGAGAGACUCUUUCUCUCUCUCUCUCUCUCUCCUGUGACUUGAAAUCUUCUUUUUGCUUUGAUCAAACAUUAGAUAAAUCCCCACUGCAUCCCUUUCUCCUCUGUGUUAGUGAUCUACUUUUACUAGGGAGGGCAACGAUCGAAGAGUCUCGCAGUCUUCUUAUUCACUGGCUAGACACCGAGGAAGGCUUUGGAAAGAUGGGUGUUUGUGGGCGCGUAGUAUGGGUAAGCCAUGAAACUAACUUGUGAACUAUUGCAUCUCACAUCAAGUGACUGACUGACUUGUUCUUUGCUUUCACAGAAACUUGAAAAAAUGUUAACGGAGGAGUACAACACUUCCCUACCUAUCUCCACACUCUGCAGUUGUUGCGUUCAUACUAAAGCAUGGAAGCGCUUUGGAGGCACCAAGGGAAGAACUUGAAGCGCAGAAGAUCACAAUGAUUCUUGACCAAGUGAGAGAGAGAGAGAGAGAGGAUGAGAACUAUUCUCUCCCUCACUUCACUGAUGAGAGAAAUCCUGAAGCUGUCAUGUUUGUUGCUGCAACUGUAAGUAGAUAAAUCAAUCCAUACAUUUCUGAUGAUGAUGGUGAUUAUCUUAUACGAUUGUGUGUAGGAUGAUGGAUACAUAACAAUGACGAGUUUCGCAGGGCGAUAAUGGACGGUCUCGAUAGAGUAGACUGGAAGGAGUCAUGGUGACUGUCGUCAUACCAUUGUAACACAACUCCAUCUGCCUUUUUCUCACAACCUCUGUCUCCUUAUGCCUUGUUACAAUUUGGUUUAAUCGUGAAGAAAAGUGACUCUUUGUGGGUUUUUUUGCUUCAAGCUAGGUAUGUAUAACAUUUUUGUCCCCACAUUUUGAAUCUUCUUCGAGCAAUUAGAGCUAAUCUGCUCAUUGAGCUAUAAAGCUGUUGAGGGUCCUGCGUUAUCGAAUACUGUUGCAGCUAGUUUUAGGCACGUAAUUUUAAAAAGUUAGGGUUUUUGCAAUUUAUUGACUCUUUGUAAUUCUCACAGGGUCGGCAUGCGUUGGUGUAUGAUAUAAACGCAAUAAAUGAAACGUGGGAAUGGGUUGAUCUCAAGGAGGUAAGCUUUUGACAUGAUGAGGAUCUUUGAUAAGAGCUGACAUUGUUUUUUUGUUUGUAGAUACCACCUGAAGAUAUAAGGUGGGAUGAAAAGAGGAUAGUGGGGGUAGCCUUAAACACUGGACCUGGAAGUGGAUCAAUCCGUGGCAACCGAAGAAACCAAGGCCACAUUGGUAGAGGGAGAGGACCAAGAAUUCAUCAGCCGAGAAGAGAAUUUUUGCCACCACCAACACAACAGAAUGGUGGUGGUGGUGGUGAUGAUAUUGAAUUGUUCAACACAGACUUGCUUGUGAAGGAGGUUAGGUUUCUGUAUGUAUUGUGUCCAUUAAGCUUAGCGGAUGUUCUAAAGAUCAAAGCUUUGUUUUAGGUGGAGAGAGUUUUCGAUGCUACGCAUCCUGAUCCAUUUGAGCUUGAUAAGGCGAAGAAAAUGCUCAAGGUUUGAGACUAAGACCAUGAUUAACCCGGGGUUCUUAGAGUGAGGUUCUUAGCGGAAGUUAAGAAACUAUUUCUUAACUUUUAACUAAAAAAACUAAGAACCGGUUCUUAAAGUCCUUAUUUAAGAACCGGUUCUUAACUUUUUUAGUUAAAAGUUAAGAAACAGUUUCUUAACUUGAGGUAAAAACCUCAUCCUAAGAACUCCGGGUUAAUCAUGCUCUAAUAUUCUUUCUCUCGGCUAUUGCGAGUUGGUUUAAUGUUGUGGUUUUAGGAAAAUAACACAAAAGUUGUGUGAUGGCAGGAACAUGAACAGGGCGCUUAUGGCUGCCCUUGCAAGGCUUGCUGAUACUUCUGAUGGUGAAAUUGGUAAUAAUAUAAAAAGGCAAGGUUUCAUUUUGUUUGCAAUCUCAGAAUAGUCUUGUAUUUUAUCGUUCAGUUGUCUGCUAUGAUGAUAAUUUUUUAAGGAUAAAAUAGCAAACCGAAUCCCACCAAUAAAAGCUUUAUCACCUACUUUGCUCAAACUCGAUAGUAUCUAACCUGCAAAUACAUGAAUUGCUUUAAAAAAAUGGGUCUUGUUCUGGAACUUUGGACUGUGUGCUUCUCUAUUGCAGAAACAUGAUAUGAUUUUUAAUGGGUUUCCUGCCACCAGAUGGAGAUCCACCAUAUUCGCAUGACCAUCCAAUGCAUCAGGGAUGAAAGAAAAGCUGUCUUUUAACUGAACCCACCAAGGACACAAGAUGGAAAUGAGCUAAAUGUAUGUUAUGUUAAGUUAGGAUCGGGACGUAGUAAGAUUCUCUGUAAAGCAACAAUAUUUUUUUGGUUUUUAGAGAAUUUAACCUGUGACUAAUGAUUGAGCCAUGUAAAAUGUUUGUUCCGGAGUCCACCUCCAUCAGACCUGCCAUCAAAACGCAUACAGUUUAUGUGUUCUGUUAUAUGGUUCUUCAAACAUCCAUGCAUUAUACAAUACAAAAUCAAAACUGCCAUGCUAUGUGUGACUUACAGAAAACACUUGCUGCCCCCUUUGUUUUUUUGCAUUCAUCUUCGAUCAAAGUUGUUGCUUGCUGAAGCAUGGACACCAGUUUGCGGCGGCGAUUACGUUCUAAUCCCUAGGAUAUUUGAAUUAGGAUAAAUCAGGUUCCGGACAUACAAACAUAUUAAAAAACAGCGAUGGAAACGUAAUAUAGCUCAUGAAGGUUAAUGAUUAUAAUAUUUUUAAAAGAAGAAGAUUAACCUCCGGAAGGAGAGAAACACGCCGUAGAGAUUUGGCGGGAUCGAGUUUCACUAAGGUUUAGAGAAAUCACACGAUCGAGAGAAGAAGAUGAUGCGAUUGCUUUUCGUCCAAGUCAUGAAGGAGAGAGGAUGGUUAGACGUCGUCGACGAUAAUAGAACCAAAGAAGCAAUGUUGACCUCUUUCUUCUUCUUCUCUCAACGAAAGAAGCAAUUUUUAAUAAGGCUUUAGUGAUUUAUUCAAAACGAAGAUAUGUAAAUUAUAUAUGUUUUGUACAUAGAUAUAUCAGCCAAACUAAGCAACGUAUAACUCAAUAUCAUAGUUCAAACUACGACCAUAUAAUAUAAAAAAGUAGCAAAAGGUUUAAAAUUAAUAAUGAUAAUCAAGAAAAAACAAGUGCUAUAAAAAUAUAAUAUUAGGCUCCACUUGGUAAAUCAUCAAAAUGGAAAACCUUUUCAAAUGUGGGUUUUAUGAACCCACUCUAGUAAUACCAUGGACAUUUCAACACUACUUAAAAUUACUAAAUUAAGAUCUGAAAAUAUUAUAUGUAUUAUAAAAGAGAUGCUCUCUAAGCUUCUUAUUACUCAUGACCAGAGGUCUAUAUUUAUACAAGUAUUAUACCGUCUUAUUUAAACCGUCAUAAGAGAAAAUGAAAUCAUAUUCUUAAUAGUACUUAUCCUAAAUACAUAUGGAAAAGGAUAAACAUCAAGUAUAGAUAUAUGUAAACUCUCAUUCGUCUAAGUCAUUAGCGAAUGGGCCGGAUGGAUAGCUGAUGAGCCGGACGGUUUGAACCUAAUAUGAGUCGAUCACCACUUGGUUUAUAACAAUAUGACGGUUCUAUAACCAACAUACUUUAGUUGGUUUAUUAGGAUUAAUGCAUGAUAGUUUUACUUUCACUAUAGUGUGAACCAUACUUUUGACUGAAUUAGAAAUCAUAAAGUCUUACAAAUCCAAAUAGUAUAAAUAAAUAAUAACUAACUUCUAAUCAAAUCAUAUCAGGACUAAAAUGACUUUUUGUGUUAGGAAUCCAUAAUCCCAAAUAUUGGAAACCUAUGGACAAUUUUCACUAUGAAUUCAUACAAAGAAUAUGCCUUUAUUUAUCAGUAUCAAAGUAAAACCACAAAACUACAGAGAGUCUACUAAUAAUAAAUCUCACAAUUUGUGGUUUUUUUCUUUUAAUUAUUUUCACAUUUUUUUUUAAUUUUUAAUAAUAUGAAGUCAUUAGGCCAUCGGUAUCGGGAGCCCUUAGGCCCGUCCCGUAGAUAUAAAUGGGUCGAGAAUAAAUGAAAAGGAAAUUAAAAGAGAGUGGGACGGGCUUUUAGUAAGGGCUAUUCGGGCUCGUCCCGUAGGCGACAUGGCAGCACGGGAGUGGGCAAUGGAAUCAGUGACUUGUUCGGCUGUUGUUCUCCUCGAGAAUUCUGAAAUCGAAAUCAAAAACAAAAAUCAAAAGCUCGAUGGCGAUGGCGAUGGCAAAGCCUUGAUCUCCAAAUCCAUCUCUUCAAAUCGAAAGCCAACCCUGCGUCUUCUCUCUUUCACUGGAGUGGGAGAUCUCUUUAUCUCCGUUGGCGAGGUCGCAGCUUCUGUCGUCGUUUGAUCCCCAGAUCCUCCUCCAAAGCUCAAUCCACAUCGGCUCGCUUCCGUUCCAAUACGACGAGAACCAAUCCUCCCCAAAACUUUUGAGAAUCGUCCCAAUCUUAACAAGGUUUGUUUUUCAAGUCCGAUCUGAUUUCAAAUUUUUUUUUAGGGUUUUGUCAAAAUUCGGUGAAUAAAAUGGUAUUUAUCCGAUGUUGUUUAAUAGAUUUGAUGGCAAAAAGAUAUAGAUUCAUUGGUUUGAGAACAAUUGUGUAGAUUCUAGGGUUCGGCAAUUUAUGAUAGUUCGUAUAGAUUUCAAAAGCUUUCUAUGGUUCGAUUGUAUGAUUGUUUCGUUGUAGCUUGUGUGAUUGUUUCGUUUUGAUUGUAUGAUUGUUUAGUUGGUAAAAAACAUCCUUGUUCGAUUCAAAUUUCUAUGUUCGAUUGUUUAGUAUAGAUUUGAACAACUGUAUGAUAGUUCGUAUAGAUUUAUAUGGUUCGAGAUCAAUUCUUUAACUGGUUUAGAGUUUGAUAUGUGUGCAAAUUCAAAUCUGUGAAAAUAAGCUCAUGUCAUUUGUAUAGAUUUGAUUCGUAUAGACUAAUAGUUUAGAGUUUGAUUAGUAUAGAUUUAAAUAUCUCAUGUCAUUUGUCUUGAUUAGCUUUCUUCAUGAGACUUUGCAUUUUCAAUAGUUCGUAGUUUAUAGAUUAAUGUUUUUUUUAAUCUUGCAUAUAGUAAUGCAUUCAACUGAUUGUUUCUCUGUCUUGUGUUAGACAUUUUGUGGUUAGAAAUAUUAAAUGUUAGAUAUAUAUUUAAGCCACUGAUGUUUUAAAAGAAAGUUGAUAGCUUUUUAGUUGUGUAAUAAGUUGGGAUUAGACAUUUCUUAUUCGGAGUUUGCCAUUAAGGCAGUGAUGUACUUUGUAUUCUUCACUUCCUCCUAUUUAAAUCUCUUAUCUUUUCUCUCUUCUGUCAUCUCAUUAGUCUUUCUCCAAGAAAUCUCUUAUAUUUUCUUACUGUUAUGGAUCCAAGCAAUCUUCGUAGCCAGUCCUCUAGAUACGUAGGACUGCUUCACAGUCAACAAGGUAGCGUUUUCCACGAAAACUUUCCUUAUGAAAGUUUUCAUUCUAGUGUUAACUUUGGAGAAUCAUAGACUUUUCCGGCUUUCAGUUCACAACAAUCUCAAGACGCACCAGUAGAGACACCAGUACAGACACCAGCAGCCCAUGUUGUAAGACACAAAUGGAAUCCAGCAGAUGACGAGGUGCUGAUCAGUGUGUGGCUUAACACUUCCAAGGAUGAUAUUGUUGCAAAUGAGCAGAGGUCGGGGGCCUUCUGGAAAUGGGUUGCUGCUUAUUAUGCAUCAAUUCCUCAUGGAAGAGAGGAUGGUGUGAGAGAGCACGGUUGUUGCAAGAAGAGGUGGCACAGAAUCAAUGAAGAUGUUAACAAGUUCUGUGCCGUAUACUCGGCAGCAGAACGACAAAUGAGCAGUGGUGAGACUGACACUGACGUUCUGAAGAAGGCGCAUGACAUUUUCUUCUCUGAUCAAGAGCACAAGUUCACACUUGAACAUGCUUGGUGUGUGUUGAGGUAUGAACAGAAGUGGCUCAGCCUUAACACACCCACGGCUGGUGGCGUUUCGAAGAGGAAGAAUGUGCAGAUAAAUUCCCAAACUUCUACCAACGAAGGCUUCGUUGAUGUUGAGAGCAGGCCCAGAGGUGUCAAGGCUGCUAAGGCUAAAAGAAAUGCGGGUAAAGGGAAGUCCGUGGCUGAGAUUGCGACCGUUUGGGAAAUGAAGAAGGACGAUUUGGUGAGGAAGGAGAGACUGUCGAGGCUAGCAAUACUAGACACUCUCCUUGCCAAGACUCAACCAUUGAGUGAGGCGGAAGAAGCUGUGAAGAAUAAGCUCCUAGCCGAGUUAUUCUGAAAAAAAUUAAGAAGACGAUGUCUCUUUAUGUCUUUAAUUUUCUGUAUGCUCUAUGUUCUUGUUUGGUGUUUGCUCUAUGUAGUUCCGGUUUCCUUAAAUGGGUUUUUAUAAAUGAAUCAUUUUCUUUUAAUGUGUUUGCUCUAUGUUUGUGUAUAGCUCUUUGUUUCUAACUGUAUAGAGCUCUUUGUAAAUAAAUGUGUAUAGCUCUAUGUUUGUAACUGUAUAGCUUUAUGUGUAUCUAAUUUAAAUUUCGACAAUGUAUGCAUGUUAAGUAAAAAUGGGACGUUACAGCUAUACGCAGCCAUCAGAUGACGAGGAUUUAUUUGGAAACAAUGACGACAGUGACUACAGCGAGACGGAUGAUCUCAUACGACGUGACCAAGCUGAGCUAAGCUUGGAACGUAGUUCACAGGUUCACUACCCUCCGCAACCGGAGGUUGAGUUUGGUUUCCCGCAGGUUUGCUAUUUUGGUGCUAAGCCACUGCUUGCAACGUCUAAUACUAGGCAAGAUCAAGGUAUGUGCUAGUUAGUUACUGACUUGCUUAUGUGCUGGUUUGUGUAUGUGCUUAGCUAGUUUUGCGUAUGUGAAACAGGGAGAAGAUAUUACACUUGUGCGAAGAAAGACGACGGCGAAUGCCAUGUCUACAAAUGGUGGGAUGAGGCGCUGAUGGAGGGGAUGAGAGCCAGAGAUAUACAUGUGCUUCAGCUGGGUGAAAAGGUAGAAAGCCUAACCCUUUUGACUGACUAUGACACAGAGCAGAAGAUACGAAACCUAGAGAAGAUUGUGGGUGAUAUGGCUAAGGAGAAAUCUUCUUUUAGUUAUGGGUUUGAGUGCUUUGUAAUAGGCGUAGUUGUUCUUGUUGUUGUAAUAGGCUUGGUGGUUAUGUUUGGAUAAUUUUAACUAUGUAAUCAAUGUAUUUUCUCGGAUGUAACCGAUAUGGUUUUGUACUCUUUUAUUUGUGCUCGUGACCAAAUAGAAUGGCUGACCAUAAGUCACAUGAUCACAAGUUUCUUAUUUGUAACAUAUAGCUCGUGACCAAGCUGACCAUAAGUGACAUAUAGUUUCUUUUACAAGAUGUAACCAUAAUAAGUUAGAUUGUUUAUAUACAUGUUUAUUUCAUUUAUAACCAUAAGUCACAAGUUGAGUUUCUUUGUACUAAUAAAUCACAUGAUCCAAAGCCACAUGUUUAUUUUGCUUUCUACCAAUAAGUCACAAGAUGUACUAAAGAGUUUAUACCAAUAUUCAUUCACGGGAGGAUUCAUAGAGACUUCUUCUUUAUCAUAUAAGUAUUGAGACCUUCUCUCAUUACAAAUGUGCAAAGUCUCAUCUUCUCUUAAAGUUCUAAACAUUUUUUUUCUCUUGUAAAAAUUGUCAAUGGCUUCUUCUUCCCAUUAUCAUUACCACAAAGAUGAUGAUGAUGAAUUAGAUGACGUAUUUGAAGAUUUAUUUGAAAAAAUUGAUUUCAAUCCAAAACCAAAAGAGCGAAAAACACGAGUUUUUAUCGAGAGACAUCGGGAGGAAGGCCAUCAGAAGCUCUGGAAUGAUUAUUUUAGCGAAACUCCAACAUACCCGCACAAUGUAUUCCGGCGACGGUUUCGAAUGAGCAAGGCAUUAUUCUUGCGUAUUGUGCAUCGUCUCUCUACAUAAGUUGAGUAUUUUCAACCCAGAGUAGAUGCAACCGGACGGUCGAGUCUAACUCCGCUCCAAAAAUGUACCGCAACAAUUCGUCAAUUGGCGUAUGGUGGUGGGUCUGACACAGUUGACGAAUAUGUCCGAAUUGGUGAAACAACAGCUCGAAGAAGUUUGCACAAUUUUUCCGCGGGAAUAAUCCACUUGUUUGGCGAUGAAUACCUAAGACGUCCCAUACCGGAGGAUCUGCAAAGACUACUAUAUAUUGGAGAACAACGUGGGUUUCCAGGGAUGAUUGGAAGCAUCGACUGUAUGCAUUGGGAGUGGAAGAAUUGCCCCACGGCUUGGAAAGGAAUGUAUUAACGAGGAAUCAGAAAACCAACGAUUGUCUUGGAGGCGGUAGCUUCAUAUGACCUCUGGAUAUGACACGCGUUUUUUGGAGCUCCAGGUACUAUGAAUGAUCUUAAUAUUCUCGAUCGAUCAUCCGUUUUUGAUGACAUUAUUAACGGAAUAGCGCCACAAGUUAACUUCUAUGUUAAUAGUAAUCCAUACCAUUUGGCAUAUUAUCUCACGGAUGGUAUUUAUCCGAAAUGAGCUAAUUUUAUUUAAUCUAUCCGACUACCACAAGGUCAGAAGCAUUCAUUAUUUGCUCAAACCCAAGAAGUUGUGCGAAAAGAUAUCGAGCGUGCCUUCGGAGUCCUACAAGCUAGGUUUCCCGUUGUUAGAAAUCCAUCUAAUAUAUGGGAUAAAGAAAAAAUAGGAAAUAUUAUGAGAGCAUGUAUCAUACUCCAUAAUAUGAUUGUCAAAAAUGAACGAUCACCAGGAACUGAGGACAACGUUCAUGAAUUUGAAGAAAGAGAAGAUGUGGCUACAUUUUCCUUCAAUAUGCCUUCACCUAUCGUGAGUACAAUUGAUCGUCGAACGAGCGUUCAGAAUAGACAAGUCCAUCAACAUUUAAAAAAUGAUUUAAUUGAAAAUAUAUGAGAUAAAUUUAGACAUCUUACACAUAACAAAUAAUUUAUAAGUUUUUAUUUGUAUUGAAAUAAAUGUUUGUGUGUUUUUUUUUAUUAUGAUGUUUGGUAUUUUUUUCUUUUCAACUUUGUAAUUUUCUUAAGAUUUUAAUUUUAAUGUUAAACUUGUUUUUUAUAUGUUUUAUUUAAAAUUUCUUUUAUAUGUUAUUCAUUAUUAAAAUAAUAAAUUAAUUAAAUAAUAAUCUAAGGGACCAGCAAAAUCCCACUAAUAAUCUACCAAAUUUUUUAAUGUCUUUAUCUUAGGUCCCUUAACAUAUGAUCUUAGUAAAAAAAAUGCUAAGGCCUGUAAGUUGAGUCCCACCGAUAAGGAUGCCCUUACGUCUCCAAAAAAACAGGGGAAGAAGGUCGCAUCUUGACUUUCUUCCAAUCGUUUGAGCAAGCAGAGCUUUUGAGACUUGGGUGCUAAAAUGGCAGCUCUUUCAACGGUUCUGUCUCUUGGUUUCGGGUCACUUCGCCGCCCUUGGCGCCUUUCCUUCUUCUCCUCUUUCAAUUCGCUCCGGCAACAACAGACCUCACUUCUCCGAUGCCAAAGUCUCGUCCUUUCGAGGUCUCCGCUUAACAGGGCUCUUCAAGCUUCCCUUCAAUCCAGUACGUUAUCUAAUCAAUUUUUGACUCGAUCCCCUUUCAUGGGUUCGCGUUAGAUUAAUUGAAUUCAGUCAAUCAUUCAUAUAUGAAAAACUCAAAACUUUAUAUUCAGACAUCUCUUGUGUUAAAAAUGGUGUCUUUAUAAAGCAUUCAUUUUUAAUUAUAUAGAUUGUGUUUCAACGGUGCCACUUCACAUUGUCUUGGUUGUGUCUAUUAGAUUAUGCUCCGGUUACAUCACCGGGAGACCAUUCUGAGAUUGUGUUUAUGGGUACUGGAACAAGUGAAGGGAUCCCUCACUAAUCCUCUCAAAACAUGUUCGGUAUUUUAUUUUUCUUCAUUGCUGACUUGUUCAUCUUUGAUUUCAAUGGGAUCUCAUUUGAAAAGGAAAUAAUCCAUUUUUGAUUCUGGUAGGUAUGCACCAAAAGCAACAGAACCUGGAAACAAGAACAGGAGACCUUAACACCAGCAUUCUUGUUCGGUACACUAGACCAUCCGGAACAAAGUAACAUCCUUAUUGGUUGUGGCAAGUAAGUGCAGUGACCUCACUGUUGUGUUUUGUGAGUGUUGAUUCCAUUUCUAGCUUGUGGAAAAUGCUUUCAUUACAAAAGAGAGGUUGAAUCCAUCCUUUUUUAAUAUUCCCUAAGUUUCCAAAUGUAUGAUGUUUAAGAGAAUUUUUGAUGUUUUAAAGAUGUUUUCAUAUUUCUAUGUAAUUUUUAACUUUAUUAAAAACUGCUAACCUAAGAUAUUGUGUAGUCUGUUUUAUAAUUGGUUAAAUAAUGUUAAAACUUAUAUUUUCUGAUACUUUUUUAGUUAAAAGUAAUUUUCUUAAUUGCAUCAUACACUUGGGAACAAGAGGAAUAUAAGAUAUUUGGUGAGAUUGAUCUUAGAGCAUAUGAUUUUUCAUUUUUUUUUUCUUGUGUGCUGACUUUCUCCUUCCAGCAUAGUGCACUUAAGUGGUUUCCCACCUUCGGGUUAGCUUUUUGCUUUUUUCCAUCAACCAGCAUUUACUUGUCAUCUGAUACUGCUUACACGAACUUAUUAUUGUUUGUUAUACUUUGGACAAAUAUUCUUAGUUGAGCGCCGUUACUUUCUGAUAGUUUUUAUAUCGUUGUUUCUCUAUGGCCAGUCUAAGAACACUUGAUGCGGUUGUAAUCACUCAUUCUCAUGCUGAUGCAAUUGGAGGUCUCUGAAACUUGACAAGUUAAAACCUUGCCACCAUCCAUCUUUUUCCUUUAUCCUGUAAAAGCUGUGUUCUUGAAAGCCUUCUGCUUCAUUGUUUAUGUUUUCUUCUCUGCAGGUCCUGAUGAUCUCCGUGAUUGGACAAACAAUGUGCAGCCUCACAUUCCAAUUUACACUGCUACGCGUGAUUUUGAGGUUAAUUAACUUGUUUUACAAACACACGUUACCCUUAUUAACUCUCUCACGUAGUUAAGACUCUCUACCAUGACAUGUGGAUCUCAGGUGAUGAAAAAAACCCAUUACUACCUGGUUGAUACGAGUGUGCAUAGCACUCAACAUAUGUUACUCAUUGCUUCGAUUCUUUUUUUUUUUUUUUUUUUUUUUUUGUGUUAUAACUCGAAGAUUUUCAGCAAGCAAAAGUGCAAAACCCACUAGUUAUUAGAGUAUCAAAUAUAUUUUUAUCGUAGUUAGUUAAUACUUCUAUAAUAAUAACUAAACAUAAUUGAAAUGGUAGAGAAUCCCAAAAAUUUAUCUUGACCCAUAUAGUGAAAUCAAUUCUAGUUGUUCAAAUGUAAUUCCACUUCUUCUCUUCACUCCAGGAUGUUUUGUAUCAUCUUUUGCAUCCUUGAUUCUUGAUUUCACAAUGCGGGUCAUUAGUCAACAAAUGUAUGUUCUUUUUGUUGUUAUAAUAUGUUUUCACAUAAUUUAGAUUUUUAACAAAAACAAUAAAAAAAAGCCCAAAACGCCCAAUAAACAAAAAGCCCACAGAUUUAACAGAAACAAUAAAAAAACAAAUUAAUGGACUUGUUUAGCAAGCUCACUCUCGACUUGUUCAGCAAGCUCACUCCCGACUUCUCUUCUCCAGCAGCUUCUCUUCUCCAGCGUGAGGAAACAUGGGUCUAGCUUCACGAGUUCUACUCAAGAUCAAGAGACGUCGUAAGAGACCCACCACGCCCCAAAGUUUCUCGCAACUUGGGUUUAGGGUCGUUGAAAUGAAGUCAGAUGGGCACUGCCUCUUCAGGGCUAUGUCGCACCAGAUGUACAGGCAUCAGCGUGGGCACCUAUCCUACCGAAAGGAGAUUGUGCACCAUAUUGAGGUAGAUCUUGGAAAUUUCUAUAUAAAAUUCUAUAAACAUGAUAAUCAUUCAUGUUAUAUUGUCAUAUAUGCACACAUAAACAUCAGGAGUUCUUCGAGCCCUUUGUCAUUACCCGCAAUGCUCUUGACCAGAUCACCGAAACCUUUGAGCAGUGCUGUAAAAGGAUGAAGAAAGAACCCAUCUAUUGGGGAGGAGAGCCGGAGCUGGUAGCAGCAUCUCGUAUCUUGCACCGCAUCAUUCGAGUCUAUAAUGUAUGUGUCACUUCUCAUAAGAUUCUAUAAUGUAUGUCUAUAAUGAUUGCAACAUCUCGUGUCUUGCACCGCACCAUAAGAAUCUAUAAUGAUAGUAGCAUCUCGUGUCUUGCACCGCACCAUAAAUAAUGUAUGUCACUUCUCAUUAUAGACUUUUUUGUUAUGCUAUCAUUAUAGACUCUGACUCUUUAUAAUAAUAACUAAACAUAAUUGAAAUGGUAGAGUAAGAGUUUAUAAUGAUAGCAUAACAAAAGAAUCUAUAAUGAUAAGUGACAUACAUUAUGGUGCGGUGCAAGACACGAGAUACUGCUAUCAUUAUAGACUCUUAUGGUGCGGUACAAGACACGAGAUGUUGCUAUCAUUAUAGACAUACAUUAUAGAAUCUUAUGAGAAGUGACACAUACAUUAUAUACUCGAAUGGUGCGGUGCAAGAUACGAGAUGCUGCUACCAACUCCGGCUCUCCUCCCCAAGAGGUGGGUUCUUUCUUCAUCCUUUUACAGUACUGCUCAAAGGUUUCGGUGAUCUGGUCAAGAGCAUUGCGGGUAAUGACAAAGGGCUCGAAGAACUCCUGAUGUUUCUGUAUGCAUAUAUGACAAUAUAACAUGAAUGAUUAUCCAGUUGAUAAAAUUUUAUAUAGAAAUUUCCAAGAUCUACCUCAAUGUGGUGCACAAUCUCCUUUUGAUAGGAUAGGUGCCCACGCUGAUGCUUGUACAUCUGGUGCGACAGGGCUCUGAAGAGGCAGUGCCCAUCUGACUUCAUUUCAACGACCUUGAACCCAAGUUGCGAAAAACUUCGGGGUCUGGUGGGUCUCUUACGACGUCUCUUGAUCUUGAGUAGAACUCGUGAAUCUAGACCCAUGUUUCCUCACGCUGGAGAAGUCGGGAGUGAGCUUGCUGAACAAGUCGGGAGUGAGCUUGCUGAACAAGUCCAUUAAUUUGUUUUUUUAUUGUUUUUGUUAAAUCUGUGGAUUUUUUGUUUAUUGGGCGUUUUGGGCUCUUUUUUAUUGUUUUUUUUUAAAUCUAAAUUAUGUGAAAACAUAUUAUAAUAACAAAAAGAACAUACAUUUGUUGACUAAUGGUCCGUAUUGUGAAAUCAAGGAUGCAAAAGAUGAUACAAAACAUCGUCGAGUGAAGAUAAGAAGUGGAAUUACAUUUUAACAACUAGAAUUGAUUUCACUUUAUGGAUCAAGAUAAAUUUUUGGGAUUCUCAACCAUUUCAAUUUUUUUAGUUAUUAUUAUAGACGUAUUAACUAUAAUAUAUUUGAUACUCUAAUAACCAGUGGGUUUUGCACUUUUGCUUGCUGAAAAUCUUCCAAUUAUAACACACAAAAAAAUAGAAUCGAAGCAAUGAGUAACAUUUGUUGAGUGCUAUGCACAUUUCGUGGAUUUUCCACGACAAAAUGAGAUAGCAAGCAUGCUAUGCACAUUUCACAGUUUAUAAUCAUUUACUUUAUAUAUUAACCGUUGACAACAAAUGUUAAAUGGUGACGAAAUACGUUUGCUACGACUGUCUAGUCUGUACUACUACAACCACAGUGAACGCAUUAGGUUCGUAAGCUUGUUAGUGUCCACCCUCAGUCACAUCCCACUUUUGGUAGCCUUUAAACUCAAAAGCGAGAUCUUUAACAUAUGCGAAGAUAACUUGAACAUUAUUAGUCCAUUGAUAUAUCCAAUGGCAGAUAGCUCUUUUGUAAAAAAAUGGAAUGUCCAAGUUGUUAGUUUUGACUUUUGAUUGGUUAAUGUCAUUUUGAUUUUCAAAAAUUUAUAAGUGGACAGGCAUAUUCUUGAGAAUAUACCAGUUUCAUUCCCUUCCACCUUUCUUGCCUCUCCUACCUGCUUCAAUCAUUUCGAUCUUAAUUUUACUUGGUCACUAGUUUUGACCUGGUUAGUUUCUCUCAUUUGACGGCCAGUGCAAGCAAGAUCCCAUCAAAAGAAAACAUACAUUAGCAUCAUUCUUGUAAACCCUAUAGUACUUGAAUAUUAGGGGUUCGGGUUUCUAAUAAAAUGGCUUAUUUAGCAAACUUGCAUUAAUAUGAAGAAGAAGGAGCCAGGAAAAGUCUAACAUAAUGGGACAACAAGCAUCCAAACAACUAACCUCUUUUUGGGAGCUGAUGUGUGAUGCGCCGCGUGAUAUAUGCAACAAGUAGAAGUGAAAAAAAGAAGUGUACAAGAAGUAAUUCAAGUAUGUAUUAUAUCAUGGUCUAAUCAUGAUAUAUUCUUUCUGACACAUGUAAUUAUCAGUUGUUAUUUAAAAAUUAUGAUUAUUUCAAAUUAUUCAUAUGGGUUACAUAAUCCCGACGCUAGGUAUUCCUCAGAUUCAACAUAAACUAAUUCAAAAAAGUUGAAGUUUAAUCCCACCUGUUUGUCAAAUUUUCAACCACCAGUUCGAGCACUACGGUCUAAUGAUAAAUUCUAUGUAUAUUUAUCAAAAACUUUUUACGGACGUCAAUUAAAAUAAAUCAAUCAUAAUGAUAAAAUGAAUGACCAUAUAACAAUAUUACUUUAAUUUGAGUUUCAUUAAUUUGCUAGUACCUGAUAAUAAAUCUUCUAAGUUUUAUACCAGGUUAAAGAAAUAUGAGGUUUAUAUCCUUCAACCAAGUGUAUAUGUUUGUUUAUAAAACUUGGUAGGAAUGAAUCAUGAAGUUUAUUUUCAGUUCCACAGCCCAUUUCAAAAUGUUUUCAAGCUUCUAAUGGUAUUUUUGUCUCAUUUUCCGCCAAUCUAAAAAAUGAAAAGUUGGUCCUUCUACCAAAUAUGCUGUCCAAAAAAACUUGGUAGGAAUCAUGAAGGUUUAUUCUCACUUAAACAUUCCUUCUCAUUUUUCUUAAAAAAAUGCUUCUAGUGACAGUUUGUCUCACUUUCUCUAAAUUUCGUUUGGUCUUAAACUCGAUUACCUAUGAUUAAUUUAGGGUAAUAUGCCGAUUAUAAUUCCAUUUAAAUAAAGAAAAGCACAUGAUAAAAAAUAUAGCUACAAAGAGUAGGAAAAUGUUAUAGAAUUGAUUAACUAACUAAUGAUGGUAUAAACACGAAAACGAUCUAAGCGGCAGAAAGUGCACACUUCUCUCGGGUUCUUUUGUUUAACUUGCAAUAGUUAUAAUUAUUUAAUUACUGUGGAAUAUACUUUUAAGUCAGGAUCUUAUAUCCAGCAGCAAUACUUAAAUCCUAAGAUAUUAUAUGUUUAAAGCAGGAAAGAUAGUGAAAUAGCAGAAGAAAAAAUGUUCUCAAGAAUCUGGAAGCUCGACCUCGUCUCUUUUUUUCUUUAGAAAUUAAAACAACCUUCAUUGAAUUUUAAACUUUUAAACAUUUGAAUAGAGGGAGAGUUAUUCAGAACUCUACGAGCAUUAAACAUUGAAACAUAAAAAAUAAGAAUACAGAAAAUUCUAAAAUAAGGUGACAGCAAAUUCAGAGCAAGACUUGAAUGCAUCGAAACAAGGUUUAUGGCAAAACCACGGACUUGAGAAAUAGUCAUUUUGGGUUGUGAUGUUCAUACUAAAUCGGCACCUCAAAAAAUCGUCAAGACGAGAUCCAUUGCAUAUUGAAAUUCUUUCUUUGACUGUUAUGAAGCUGUUGCUUAGAUAUGUUUAUAAUCAAAAGAUUGAGAAUGGUAAUUUUACCAUAGGUUAUACUAUUCAAUUAGAAAAUUCAAAAACCAAAGAAUAUAUUCUAAGUCAAGCUUCUAAUUUAAGAAAUGCUAAUGGUGAAUUUCAACCAAGUUUAGGUUUAUACACAACAUUGGUGAAUUUGAUGCUGAUUCAAGCUGAAAAAUAUGAAGAUUUAGAUAUCUAUGUCGAGAGCUGUUUAUAAUAGAUUGCCCAGUAACAUAUACAAACUCAGAAGGGGAUGUUGAGUUAUAAUCAUUGUCUUUGCCAGCUAUGUGGGAACACUUGAAUCACUCAAUCAUCUACUAUUCCAAUGGAUAGUUGCAAAAGAAGUAUGUACACUGGCACCACUCGGAAACCAACCAAGUUGGCUGGCUGAUUACUCUCAACCUUUGCAGCAAUAUUUGAGCUGGUUGCUAUCAGUAACUUCCUCCUCACCAUUAAUUGAUGACUUGGCCCUUCUUUACUGAAUGGCAAAUUUGGAAAAUAAGGAGCUUAAUCCUCCCAAAUCAUUGAGAAUUCAUCUCGCAAGUGAUUGAUAUUAUCAAUCAAAAACUUGGGAUUGAUAUAAAGCCAAAACAUGGGAGGAGUGACAUCAAAUUCAAGAUACAAAUAUAAACGGUAAUGCAAACAACUACGACUGUAUAUAUUGUAGAUGCAUCGUGGUCUUCAUCAAAAAGACUGAGCAGGCAUAGGAUGUGCACUAUAUCGGAAAGACUACAAGUCAUUAAAGCAAGUACAUAUAUUGAUCCGAUUGUUGGAAGCCCUACUUAUCAUAACCGUCAAAGAAGUACAUAAAUUGUUUUUUUGAUGAAGUUAUGUUCGUUGGUGAUUUGGUCCUCUUCAAUUAGCUUAAUAAUGCCUUUCUAGAAGUAAAAAAAUGGGAUUUGGUUGGACCACUCGGCUACUACAAUCACCAUUUCCAGGACACAAUUUAAGGCAGUAUAUCCCUCUAAGCCUUCUUGUUUUUAGAUAAACAGGUUUUGCGAAUUAUUGUUUCUGAAGUUACUUUCUUACUACAAUGGCAAAAAGUAUAUUGUAUCUUAGAAUACUUUGUAUCUUAGAAGUUAGAACUGAUCCUGAGUGUAAAUUGUUUCAUAAUACAAUAUGCAGCUAGCCGACAAAGAAAAAAGUAGUAUGCAACGAUGAAACAAAGAAAAAGCAAUCAUCCACUCGAACUGUAUUACUAAAUCUAGCCUAAUAACACAACAAGUUAAUCAGAGUUAAACACAUGAACAAUGAUUCAUACCAUAUACUAACAAAAAAAAUCAGAAUUUUUUUCAAAGCUACCAACUUUUUUUGUUUUUGUUUUUAAAACACAAAAUACAUAGAACAUUUACAUCUUGGAUUUAGAAAAUGAUAUGAAUACAGUGAACAAUCGGUAUGCAGAAUUCGAGAAGUUGGAACACACAAGUGUUAGGUGUCUCUGUUGAUAGUGUGGUAAGUAAAACUCUACAAGUUUACAACUAUUCUUAUCUUGUUUGCAAAAUUGCUUUGACUCAUCCCUACUUGUUGUGUUGAUGUCCGUCCACAUAGUUCUCCCACCUUGCGUGGGUUCAAACAGACAGAAAAUCUGGAGGACUUGGUGAUCUCAACUACCCCCUUGUAUCAGAUGUCACUAAAUCAAUCUCAAAAUCUUUUGGAGUGCUCAUCCCUGACCAGGUAAAAACUUUUAUUGUUUUAACUUCCCUAAAUCUGUUUGGGAAUCAACAAAGAUACAUACCUUUUGUGUGUAAGAAAAAGAGGGAAUAGCGUUGAGAGGGCUUUUCAUAAUAGACAAGGAAGGAGUGAUCCAACAUUCAACCAUCAACAAUCUUGGUAUUGGCCGAAGUGUUGAUGAGACAAUGAGAACCCUUCAGGUAUAAUAAAUACUCUCAAGUUCAAAACCUGUUCUUUUUUUAUAUUUGAUUACUGUUUGUGUGAUGCAUAUUAUAUUCUCGAUGUUGCAGGCAUUACAGUACAUCCAGGAGAACCCUGAUGAAGUCUGCCCUGCAGGAUGGAAACCAGGGGAGAAGUCAAUGAAACCUGACCCCAAGCUCAGCAAAGAGUAUUUCUCAGCUAUUUAGAAAUAUCUACAAACCCUUUGUUAUAUGUGAGCUGAGUG